This 59390-nucleotide long non-coding RNA is filed under the name Phaseolus vulgaris (common bean). Its description in RNAcentral is "long non-coding RNA (PVUL_LNC002798)". The record is from RNAcentral. Lineage: Eukaryota; Viridiplantae; Streptophyta; Magnoliopsida; Fabales; Fabaceae.
CACACUAUUUCCACAAGCUCUCUCCUUCUUUCUUUUUAUCAUCAAGAACAAGCACCAUCACAAGUUCCUAAACUAGCCUUCUACUCAUCAACUCAACCAAGGACAUGGCAUCCAUCAUACCCGCUUCCUGUGGCUCUGUGUUGAACACCUCCUUCCUCAGGAAGCAGCCUCUGAACCACACAAGCCUCAAGGCAUUCUCCAACGCCAACGCCGUCUUUGGUGUGAAAGGAGGACGUGGAGGCCGUGUGACAGCCAUGGCGAGCUACAAGGUGAAGCUUGUGACCCCAAGUGGAGAGCAAGAGUUCAGUUGCCCAGAUGAUGCAUACAUUCUUGAUGCUGCAGAGGAAGAAGGCAUUGACCUUCCUUACUCAUGCAGGGCUGGUUCUUGCUCUUCAUGUGCUGGCAAAGUUGUGGGUGGCCAAGUGGACCAGUCUGAUGGUAACUUCCUUGAUGACGACCAAAUUGAGCAAGGCUUUGUUCUCACCUGCGUUGCUUAUCCCACUUCUGAUGUUGUUAUUGUCACUCACAAGGAGGAGGAGCUCGUUGCUUAAAUCUUGUCAUCACUUUCCUUUCCCACUUCUGAUGAUGUAUGCUGCUUUUUCUUUUUAUGUCUUGUGCCAUUUCUCAGGAUAUACACACCCAUUAUUAUUAUUAUGCAGUAAUUGAUUACUUCACCUGUAGCAGCAGCUGAACUUGUUUUUGUCACUAUAAUAAUCUUUUCUUUACAGUUUUUGCACUCCUUUCCUCUUUCCUCGGCUUCAAUAAUUGAUUACCCUUUUAUGCAUUACAUAUAUACUAUCUAAAUUUGUGUGCUUUCUGCAUUGAUUUUCAUCCUUCUGUCACAUUGGAGUUAACAAUGAUGAGGGUAACUUGCAUCUUACCAAGAAAUAUUGAUGUUAGACUCAAAAAAAACCCACACAAGACUAAAAAAAAACACUAAAUGAUAAUUAGAACAAGUUUUUAGUUUCUUUUUAGUAUUUGUGUGAGUUUUUUUUUUUGAGAGGUUAACAUCAAUCAACGACGGUGGCUUCUUGUUCUUAACUUGGUACUGAAGAUGGUGUUAAUGUCCUGAGACUAAUUGUAUGGCCAACUUUUUUUUACUUUUGUAUCACUUAAAAGAGAUAACAUAUUUAAUUGUAUCUACAGUACAAGGUACAUUUUUCAUUCUCAACUACUUUGUGUCGGUGCCAAAACAUUGAUUUAAGAAUGAUUUCUAUAUCUAUGCCAUGAAGAGUAGUAAAACUUCAAAUAUGAAACAUAAAUGGAUGAUGUCUUCUGUAGCACAUACUUAUGCUUCUCUCCUUCGCCAUUGAAGGACAGUUUUGGGGGAGAGUGAUUGUAUUCGUCUGUAAGUCUUGAGUCAAUAUUUAACAAAGAAAUUGAGAUGAAAAUUCUGGCAAUGCUAAAAUAUCUGUUGGGUAUGGAUUCAAACCUUAAUUAGGAGCAUUGCUUCUGUGAGAAUUCUGCUGUGAACAUGGAGAUGUUACAAAAUUUAUGACCACAAAUUGGAGCUUGUCAUUCUAUCCUUCUUAACAUUUCAAAGGGUGUGGUUGACAAUGCUAUGAUUCAAUGUUUCGAUAUGGUUAUGGAUUACUUCCAAGUCAUACUCUGUUUUUUUCUCUUAUUCAGACUGGUGUCUUGACUCUUUGGUUUGUAUGAGAUUGAUUAAUUGAUGAAUUACUAUGUUGAGGUUUGUCAUGUGUUCUAUGAGUUGUUAGUUGGAGGUUUUUUGGUGUCUUGUUUUGAGAAAGGUUAAGGUUUAUUUUUCUUUAUAAAGAUUGAACUAUCCUGAAAUAGAGAUGUUAAUGUUUAUUUUUCUGUAUAAAAGUUGAACCAUUUGAAUAGUUCAUAUUUAUUUUCUUGUCGAUAAAAAAAAAUAGCAGUUAAAUACUAUACCAAAGUUUUACACAUGAAUAUACACCAAUAAAAAAAAUAAACAGUUUUUCAUUGGUCAAUUAACAAAUUAAAUAAUUAUAAAAAACAAAGGACUGCGUAAAAUGAAAUUCAACCAUGCAAUUCUGAGUGGAAGUUUUGACUGAAUAAUUCGAAAAAACUAGCAUUUUUCAAUUUAUAACCACGGUUGCAUCUCAUGUAAUAGUAAUAUUCAUAAGCAAAAGAAAUAGAAGUGCAUAACCUACUCUCUGAGAGGGCCUGGAGAGGGUGCUCUUGGAACAAAGUUUUGUAACUAUUGAAGAGCCAUUGAAAUAUGCUACUGUUCUGACCUCAAGUCAGUUGGACAGCAUCGCUAGGGUCAAUCACCGCAUCCGAGGUAUUGUCCGCUUUGAAGGUUGGUGCUCCGUCACGGUUUUGUCCUUAAAAGAUGUCUCAAAGGGUGAAGGGAGGAGGGAGUAUAUAAACUGCCCUUGACCUCGAUUCCUGAGCGAUGUAAGAUUGUAUUGGCAGCCUCGAUUGUGAAGAAUCUGUGGAGAUAACAUAGGCACACAGAAUGAAACAUGGUACAAAAUGUUUAGAUGUUCUUUUUAAGAGGAGAUCUAGUCACAACAAUGAUGGUAAAUGUUGAGUUCAUUAAAUAUAUAACAGUUUUGCAAAGAAAAGAAGGUAGCAUGUGAAGUGAAGAAGAUGAAGAAUGUUACAAAAAUGUAUGGUGAAGGGAAGAUGAAUAGACUUGGUAGCAUUCAACCUCCACAUCUUAUUGCACUUUCAAUGCAUUCAAUUACUUCCUCUACCAUAAAUCCAAUUUCAGUAUAAAAAGAUGAAAAUGUUUUUAGAUAAAAUGAAGGUAAUUAUAAAAAUACAUUUAAGAUUUACUUUUUUGGACAAAUAUCUGGAAUGAAAUUUUGAUUUUAUUUUCGAAUUUUUAUUUCUAGAACACAAUAACCUCUUCUAGAUCUAUUUUUUAAAAUAUAUUGUUUUCAAUUCUAGAUUUUUAUUUCGAGAAUGAAGGACAUUUUAAAAAAUUUAAAAUUGUGUAGGGUGCAAAUUUAAAAUGAUUGAGUGUAUGAAGAAUUUGUCUUUAUCAUAGUUCCCACUAUGUUAACCAACACAAUUGCUUGCUGAAAAUUUUCCUCACUUCGUUUUCUUUACAUUUCGACCUUAUGCAGCCUCAAACGUUAAUUUCAAAAGAAAAAUGAUAGUUUGACAACUCUUAAAGUUGUAUACAACUCUUGAUGUGAUAGGUUUAGAAAUAAAUAUAUAUAAUAAAGGAUAAAUUUAUAAUUAAAUGAUAUAAAAAAGUAUUAAAAAUAAUAGUAUUGGAAGUUGUAAUGUGGUUGUAUAAAAAUUUGAAGUUGUUAAUGUAUCAUUACCCAUUUCAAGAAUACAACUUAAACUCAAAAUUACAAAUAAUGGCAUUACAUUAUGCACCCCAUAGUUUCCCAUAAUUUGAAGGUGCAACCAUGGGCAAGAUAAAAAGACAAAAGUAUCCCUACUUUGGAUUUAUAAAAUGCAUAUUAUACACUCUACAAUUCGAAAUGCAUUUUCAAAUUUGGAAAUAUAUUUCUGAAUUUUGCAUUGUUGAAUGUAUUUUUAGAUUCAAAAAUAUAUUUUUGAUAAUUCAAAAUGCAUAUUUUAUUUUGUAUUAUGAAAUACAUUAAUACUAAAAAUAAGGGAAGUUUGAAAAUUUAAAAUCUAUGGAGGUGUAUGCUAAAAUUAUGGGUUAGCCUACAAAUAAUGGGCCAUUGGAUCCGGGUUGCUUCUUCCUGCACCUCCAUACCUUCUUCUCUCACCUCCAUAGAUUUUCGUAUUUCCAAAACUGCUCUUCUGUAAUAUUUCGGAUUACAUAAUUCGGAAGUUAUUUUUCAAAUUUGUAAUUAGCUUUCGGAUUAUAUAAUCUGAAAGUCUUUUUUCAGAUGCAUGAUUACUUUCCGGAUUACAUAAUCUGGAAGUUUUUUUUAACUUCUGGAUUAUGUAAUCCAGAAGUCUUUUUUCAAAUGUGUUUCCGGAUUACAUAAUCCAGAAGUUAUUUUAUGGGGGUGGCACAAGAAGGAUAAAAAUGUAUUUUUCAUGUUGUGUAUGGAGGUGCCAGAAGAAGAUAUGGAGGUGCAGGAAGAAACAGUCUUGGAUCCGAGUCAAACUUUUUAUCUAUACUUUAUUAUAAGGGCUUUUUCUUCUUACACUUCUUAAUUAAUAAUUGCAUCUCAUACUAUGACAAAAAGGCCAAAAUACCCUCCAUUGCUCCACCAUGUCGUCGUCGUUGCAGCUCUAUCUACACUUCCAUGACGAGUUUUUAAUAUCUUUUAGAUUAAAAAUAAUAUAUGAUUUAUAUUCAUUACCACUUGCAUUAAUUUAUAUGUAAGAUUAAUGUUAACUUAAAUAAAUAUUAAAAAGAUAUUAUAUUAAUAUUAAUAAUUACGAAAUUUAAAAAUUAGAACGUAUUUAAUAUUAUUAGUGUUGGUUAAGUUAACUUUAAUGUCUUUCUUUAAAAUAUUAUUAUUACUAAAAAAAUAUAUUUAAUAUUAUUAGAGUCGAUCUUAAUAUUUUUUUAACAUAUUUUUCAUUACUAAAAUAUAUUUGAUAUUAUUAUAGUCGGUUAUCUUUAUUUUAGUAUUAAAAUAUAUUUAGUAUUAUUAGUAAAUUGUCUGUGUUUACCAAGUAUUAACAAAAGUAUGAAAUAUAAAAAAAAAAUGCGAUAUAUAAUUAAAAGAAUAUUUACAGGUUUUUAUUGUUAAUUAAAAAUCAAAACCUUCUUAAAUCACUUCCCAACAAGAGAUCUUACAAAGGACUGUUUCUUCCUGCACCUCCAUGCCUUCUUCUCUCACCUCCAUAUAUUUUCAAAUUUCCAAAAAUGCCCUUCUAUACUAUUUUGAAUUACGUAAUCCGGAAGUCAUUUUUUAAAUUUGUAAUUAGUUUCUGGAUUACAUAAUCUAGAAGUCUUUUUUCAUAUGCAUGAUUAAUUUUCGAAUUACAUAAUCCGAAAGUCUUAUUUAGCUUCCAGAUUAUAUAAUCUGGAAGUUUUUUUUCAAAUGAAUUUCUGGAUUACAUAAUCCGAAAACUACUAUAUGGGGGUGACAUAAGAAGAAUAAAAAUAUAUUUUCAUGUUAUGUAUGGAAGUGGCAGAAGAAAAGAAGAUAUGGAGGUGAGAAACAGUCCUUACAAAGACUUUCAACACACUCUAUUCCAAUUACAUAUGCACCGUACACGUGGCGCUACUUUCACAACAGUCACAGAUGAAUGUGUAAGAAAUAUCUUGCACAGGAUAAAUCUUAACCACUCAUCAUAGUCUCCUCUUAUUAAAACGUGUUACAUGUGUUUUUAUUAAGGAAAAUGAUUGCUUAACACUCACUUCAUCUAAUCCCACUAAAUAUUAAUAUUUUAAUUUUUUUAAUUUUUUAAUUUUAAUUUUUUUUAACAUUUUAUAUUUUUAUUAAAGACAUUCCUUUAUUUUUAUAAUUUAUUUUAUUAUAAAUAUUAAUAUUUUAUUGCAGUGGAAAUUGGAGUAAGGUGUCUACGAAUAAUACGGAGACACGUGGCAGAUAAGGUUGUACGUGACUUCACAUCAUUUUGUGAUCAGACAAUGCUAGUUCAAAAAGCUCCUUGGUUUGGCUUAUCUAUAAAACAGAAGAAGAAGAAGAAGAAGCAGCAGAAGAAGAAGAAGAAGAAGAAGAAGAGGAGGAGAAUGGCGUGUAUGACAGUAGCUAUGUGUGGCCCUGCCUUGAACACCUCCUUCCUUAGGAGACAUGCAGUGAGUCUGAAUGCAUUCCCCAAGGCCAAUGCAGUGUUUGGUGUGAAAGGAGGAGGUGGAGGUCGUGUCACUGCCAUGGCUAAACACAAGGUGAAGCUUAUCACCCCAGAGGGUGAAAAAACCUUUGUCUGCUCAGAUGAAACCUUCAUUCUUGAUGCUGCAGAAGAAGUAGGCCUUGACCUUCCCUACUCAUGCAGGGCUGGUGCCUGCUCUUCCUGUCUUGGCAAAGUUGUGAAUGGCCAAGUGGACCAGUCAGAGGGUAGCUACCUAGAUGACGAUCAAAUCGAUCAAGGAUAUGUUCUUACAUGUAUUGCUUACCCCACCUCUGAUGUUGUUAUCCAGACCCACAAGGAGGACGAACUCGUUGGAUAAAUCUCCCUUUCCCACCAUUUUCUUAGAAUAUGCUUCUUUUGUUUCAAAUGUGAUGGAGGAGGAAGAUUGUUAUUGCAUGAUCAAGGUAUUUUAGUUUUGUUUUAUGCUGUUAGUUAGACUAUAGAGAAUGAACUCCACCUUCAGAAUCUCAUCAAACUUUUUAUUAUGUGUUGGUUAUUGGUUCAGGGAAUUUGUAGUCACUGUAGUAAUGUUUUCCUUGUUGGUUGAGUUAAGAACUCUGAUGUUAGUUGCUUGUUCUGAAUUCAUGCUGAUCUUAAUGGUGACUUUGAUUCUUAUCUGCACCAUUUUAGAUCUUUUGGGUUGUUGGAAGCUAAGAGUCAUGCACAAUGGAGGGUCUAACUACACCUAAAAUUCAUAUAAGAUUAGAAAAUAAGUUAGUUUACAAACUCAAAUUCUACUCUGAUUCUGAGAAGAGUUUCUGAGGCAUUAUAUGAUAUAAAACAUUACAAUUGAUUUCUCUGUCUGAAUAAAAGAAAUUAUUUGAUAGUAAACAAAUAGGAUUAAACUGUAUUAACUUUAAGUUUAAUUCAACUUCAUAAAAUCGAUUUAUGAGGUGAGAUUUUAUAAGGUGAGGUAUCGAAAAUGAUUAUGAUACUAUAUUAAAGAGUGGACAUUAAAGAGCGAACUUCAAGCUUAACUCAACUUUUCGCUUCCACUUAUAAAGAAUGAAAUGUACUGUUGUUGGAGAUCUCUACUUGAAGAUGCUGGCUUAUGGUUUGAAGCCAUUUCUCUGAUGUAGUUAAAGAAAUUUAGUAUAAGGUAAUAAGAUAGAAGAAGAAAGCUAGGAUUGUCACACUUCAUUCAUUCAUCAAACACAGGAGAUGGAAAUGAGUUUUUAGAUUGAGUUGUCUCCUUUUAAGAAAGAUGUUUUCAUUUUGCAGUAAAAAUGUCCCACAAAUUUUUCAAGAAUUUUACACAAGGACUACUGUGUGAUCAAUACAAAGAAACAGUUUUUAUGGGCUAAUUACUGAAUCAAACAUGGUACAAAAUGUUUAGAUGUUCUUUUUAAGAGGAGAUCUAGUGGCAACAAUGAUGGUGAAUAUUGAGUUCAUUAAAUAUAUAACAGUUUUGCAAAGAAAAGAAAGUAGCAUGUGAAGUGAAGAAGAUGAAUGCUACAUAAAUGUAUGGUGAAGGGAAAGAUGAAUAGGCUUGGUAGCAUUCAACCUCCACAUGUUAUUGCACUUUAUUGGAUGAAUCUUUUGCAUUCAAUCCAUUAAUUGCAGGCAAUUACUUCCUCCAACUAAUUUCAGUAUGAAAAGACGAAAAUAUUCUUAGAUAAAAUGAAGGUAUAUAUAAAAAUACAUUUCGGAUUCACUUUUUUAGAAAGAACAAAUUUUUUGUAUUAGGGAUUUUUUUUAUCUGUAACGAAAUUUUGAUUUUAUAUUUUCGGAUUUUAUUUUUGGAGCACAAUAAUCUUUUCUGGAUUAUUUUUUCAGAAUACAUCGUUUUUAAUUCUGGAAUUUUAUUUUCAGAACAAAGGAUAUUUUCAAAAUUUUAAAUUUGUAUAGGGUAUAAGUUAAAAAUGAUUGAGUGUAUGAAGAAUUGGGCUUAAUUGUAUCACAGUUCCCACUAUGUUAACCAACACAAUUGCUUGCUGAAAAUUGUAUCAUAGUUUGAACACAAUUCACAAUUCCAAAUCCUAAAUCCUAAACCAACACAAUUCACAAUUCUAAAUGUAUUUUCAAAUUUGGAAAUAUAUUCUGAAUUAUACAAAAUAAAAUAAAAUAGAUUAAUGUAUUAUGAAUUAUGCAAUUGAAUGUAUUUCUAGAUUCAAAAAUAUAUUUUAAGAAUUCAAAAUGCAUAUUUUAUUUGGUAUUAUGAAAUACAUUCUAGAAUACUAAAAAUAAACAUCCUAAACUAUGGAGGUGCAGGCUAAAAUUACGGGUUAGCCUAUAAAUAAAUAAUGGGCCAUUGGAUCCAAGUCAAAAUUUUAUUUAUACUUUAUUAUAAGGGCUUUUUCUUCUUACACUUCUUAAUUAAUAAUUGCAUCCCAUACUAAGACAAAAAAGGGAGAUAAUUAUUUCAGAAAACUCGUCAUGAAAAUUAUUAUAUAUGUUUUCGAAAUCUUUGUUCCAUAAAUCCUGUUACAGGAUGUUCGGGAAAGUUUAUUUUUGGAAAAAGUUUAUUCCAAAAUACAUUUUAUAUACUAUUAUGAAUGUGAAUAUUUAUUGUUUAAAUCAUAAGGUUUUAGAUUAAAAAUAAUAUAUGAUUUAUAUUCAUUAUUACUUGCAUUAAUUUAUAUGUAAGAUUAAUAUUAACUUAAACAAAUAUUAAAAAUAUAUUAUAUUAACAUUAGGGAUUACGAAAUUUAAAAAUUAAAACAUAUUUAAUAUUAUUAUAAUUGGUUAAGUUAACUUUAAUAUUUUUCUUUAAAAUAUUAUUAUUAUUAAAAAUAUAUUUGAUAUUAUUAUAGUCGGGUCAAGUAUAAUAUCUUUAUUUUAGUAUUAAAAUAUAUUUAAUAUUAUUAGUAAAUUGUUUGUGUUUAACAAGUAUUAAAAAAAAUAUAAAAUAUAAAAAAAUGCGAUAUUAAAUAACGUGUUACAGACGUAUUACACACCGAUACUCUCGUAGGAUGUCUCUCAUUCAAGUGUCAAAUUCAAAAAAUAUUUGUUGAAUUUCUAACAAUUCUAGCAUGAUUUUAACACAAUUUUUUUAAAAAUAUAAUUUUUUAAAAAUUUAAACUUAUUAUAUAAAUUUUUAUUGUAAUUAUAAAAAUAAAAACCAAAUACUUUUGAAUGAGCUAUGAAAAAAACAUGUUUUUUUAAAAUAAAAAUAAAAAUAAUUGUACAUAUAAAUAUUUAUUAAUAAAUAGGUUAUCGAGGUUUCAUUCUUAGAUGGUAACACCUUAAAUAUGUUGCAAAUAAUGAAAUUUGACAAGUUAUAAUUUUGUAAAUAAGAAAUAAAUUAAAAAAGAAAAUUAAAUUUAUAAUAAAUCUUACACACACAAAAAAUAGUGAAUAUAAUGAGAGAUAGAAUGAUGCCACGUGGCAGAUAGGGUUGCAUGUGGCCUUACCUCAUGCACGUUAUAAGCACACUAUUUCUUCAAGCUCAUGCUCCCAUUUGUUAUCCAUCACCAACAACAACAACAACAAGCUUGCAGUGACCAAUGGCUUCGAUCACACCCGCUUCCUGUGGCUCUGUGUUGAACACCUCCUUCCUCAGGAAGCAGCCUCUGAACCACACAAGCCUCAAGGCAUUCUCCAAUGCUAAUGCUGUCUUUGGUGUGAAAGGAGGACGUGGAGGUCGUGUGACAGCCAUGGCCAGCUACAAGGUGAAGCUUGUGACCCCAAGUGGAGAGCAAGAGUUCAGUUGCCCAGAUGAUGCAUACAUUCUUGAUGCUGCAGAGGAAGAAGGCAUUGACCUUCCUUACUCAUGCAGGGCUGGUUCUUGCUCUUCAUGUGCUGGCAAAGUUGUGGGUGGCCAAGUGGACCAGUCUGAUGGUAACUUCCUUGAUGACGACCAAAUUGAACAAGGCUUUGUUCUCACCUGUGUUGCUUAUCCCACUUCUGAUGUUGUUAUUGUCACCCACAAGGAGGAGGAGCUCGUUGCUUAAAUCUUAUCAUCACUUUUGUUAUUAACAUUCUAUUCUUCUGGUUUUUCUUUGACGAGUGUAAGAAAUUUAUACGUUUGUGUUAGCUGUAUAUGUGGUUCUGUUGGAUUCCUCGUAUAUGUUUUUUAUGUUUUUUGGACUUAUAGUUUCUCUUACUUUGCGUAAGAGAUUAUGAGUCUUGUUAGGAUUGGAAAGUGCAACAAUUGAAGUUUGUUUUUAUAUCUUAGUGCCAUUUUUCAGGAUAUAAACGUGUGUUGUGCUUGUUCAUGAACAACUUAUUCUGCAUUAACUCGUUAAUUACUUCACCUCUCUGGUGAUAUGUAUCAAAUAUUUAUAAAAAUACACUGGUUUUUGUCAUGCACAUUAGUGAAUUAUACUAAUAUUUCGAGCAGUUAGAGUUCCGAUAUGCUAAAAUUUGUUAACCUUCAUAUAUAUUAAAAAGAUAGAUGAUAUAUCUAAUAUUGUAUCUGAAUGAUUUAAAUGUCUAUGCUCAUUUAAGAAUGAUUUGUACAUCUAUGCUCUAUGAAGUUCCAACUAGUUCUGAAGUAAAAUAAAACACUAAUGAAUCAUGUUUUCUGAAACAAAUCAAGAAGAGUGAUAGCUUUUGCUUUGAUCUUCAACGUUGUGGGGAAUUAGUAUAUACAGAUUCAGACAAAUAUUCAGCUACCUUGAAUGUUUUGCCUUGUUGGGGGUCUCCAACUUCAGCUGUUCUACUGAACUCACUGUUAUCUGAUUCAAAGACCCUAAAGAAGAGGAUCGAGUUAGAGUCCCAGAUGCUACUGUCAUUUCGUCCCUCUCAUCAAUUGUUGAUUCCAGGGAGCAUACUGAUCUUGCAGUGUGUGAAUGCAACGAAUCAUGCUUAGACUUGUGUUUCACUCUUUUACACCAACUAUGCAGAGACUCUCUAACACUCUCUGUCACCAAGGCCUUCUUGCAUUUCGAUCCCAUCUGAGGCCAAUCAUCAAAUAAAUUUACUUUCAUCACGUUUUCGUUAGAACACUUUGUUAAGAACUUAACAAUGAGCAUUAAGCCAACCUGAGAAACUAUUAUGCUCAGGGGCACUGUCAUGUAGCUACACCAGAACUGAACAAUAGCACUGCAAGUUUCAAAAUAACGAAAUGUGAGUCUUCCUGGUGGAAAAAUCGAACUAAUUCUCUCUCAGGUGUAGAUACAAAAUUGACUCUUGCGAAAGCAAUAAGCAAAUAAAAGAAAAAUAGAAAAAUAGAAAUGAGAGAAUAGAUAUCGAAAUCCUAGUCAGAUGUUAGAGAGAAAUUAGAUGAGAUUGAAUGUUAUCCUCACUGAGAAAAAUAAAUAUUGUAAUUCUAGUUUUAUAGUGAAAAUAUUUUCUAGAUUAGAUAUAGUAGAUUUUACUUCUUAAGUGGAGGAAGUUUUCUUAAGUUAAAAGAUUGGAGUAGUGUAAAAUCCAGAAAGUUGGUAAAGAAAGUAGAACAAAAAAAUCUUGAAAGAGAGACGACACCAACCCAGAUGCCAACCGAAUGAUGAUCAUGUAAUGAUUUCUCAUGAAGCACGAUUGUUCUUGGAAUCCCCACUACAAAAACAGAAAUUGAAGAUAAUUCAUUGAACAAAAGCAAGUCAUAAGUCACGUAUACAAUCUUGAAAAACUGAAGUCUUACCAAUGUCCAAAUAAACGUUGCCAUUUCAAAUGCAUUCUGCAUGAACAGUGGAGAAAAUAAGAACAGAAAACACAACCAUGCAGCAUGACCUACUUACAAAUAAAGUGUUAUCGAUUCUUACCUGAAAUAUGACAAACUGUAUCAGCCAUAACAGUAUAUCUGGUUUUUUAAACCAGAAUAGAUCAUCGCGUGGCUUUACUUGUGUCCUAGGAAACGGACCUGUCUGCUCCAUAAUUUCAAGUGCUAAGGUGGAUACAACAUGUUGAAGCUUUGCCCCUAUCAACAUCACAAGCUUUUACGUGUAGAGAAAUCAGACCUUGAUGGAAAUAACUUUCAAUGGACUUUUUCAUUUUGAUUUGUUAAAACAACAAAUUAGAAUAUACAUACAAUUGCAGGGAUAAAUGAUAGCCAGAAGUAUAUAUUCAGACCUGCAAAUUUAGAAACUUAAAUAUCUGAAGAAAUUAAUUUUAAAGACACUAACAAUAUACUAUGAUUCUGAAGAGAAGCUACCGUGGAUGUUCACGAAGAUGCACACUAUGGCAUAAAUCCAAAGCAGCCAGCUGCAAAAUUGAAAAAAAAGGGUUAUUCAGCUGUUAGUUUUCUCAUUGUUUUUCUUAGUAGAAGUCUAAUGUUGAUUAGAAAAAACAUUUGUAUUGGAAACUUCAUUUCCCAUCACUCAAUUCCCUAUGCUAAUCAUGAUUCACGAGCAUGCUAUGUUAGUUAAUUAAGCAACUUACAGUUAAUAACUUGCAUCGGUUUUCAGAAACACCAGUUAAAAGAAGAAAUCCAUUUCAAAAUGGUUCUUACCUUAUUCCUAGAAUGCCAUGAAAUUCAUCUUCCAUGCUUCGAACCAUAUAUUGAUGGAAAUUAUAAGAUAACGGCAAAUUGUGUUCCUGUAAAUUUGUGAAUACGAAAAUUACUUCGAUUUAGAAGAAUCAAAUAAAAGAUUAGGCAAUCAGGGAACAAUAGUGGACCAACAAGUCUCCAGCAUGCAUUAUUUUAUCCAACAUCCUUCAACAGAUAAGAAACUUACAGUGAUGAAACCUAAACGUAGUGCAAGGUAAUCUGAUUUUCGUAUAGAGCUCCUAAACUGACGUAGGAAACAGAGCUGCAAGAUCAGAUCACAAACAUUAAUCCAUUAUAUUCAAACUGUGCACAAGGAUGACACCAAAAACAUUUAGAAACUAGGAGUUGCUAGAAAGAUGUUUAGAUGGGUGAGUUGCUAGAGAAAUUAUGCAUCAAAAGGCCAUCCCAGUAAAAGCAGCACACAAAUAAUUAAGGAUGUGCCAUUUAUGUUGAAAUGUUACCAUCCAGUUUAGGAUUGGACUCCUGCUCCAUGGAUGAGAAGUGCGAUGGAAAAUAAAUGUUGUCUGUCGCUUCAUCAACUUGAUUUUCUUUGCUGUUUAACAAAAAUUAAUAAAAAGUUUAGGACAUAGAUUAAUCUGUUCUAUUCAAUGCAGAAGUGUUUGUCAGAUUUCAUUCAUGAUAUGAUGUCACAUUUUAAGACCAAUCGUUAUGAAGUAACCAUUCUAUGCCAUUUACCUUGCUGGUUUCCAUCACUUGGCAUCCUAGCCUGAUUUUCCCAUCUGCGCCAACUAUAGAUCUACAAACACUUGCAACAAAGAUAAAAUAAAUGAUAUGAACCAGACUACCAAACAUAGAAAACAACAGCAAUGAAGACAACUCCAAGUGAUCGAUUGGAACAAGGAUCCCUUAAACAAAGACACUAAUUUAACCAUUGGCAUUACUGGUUAGAAGAGCAUGAUGUUGCUAAAACACCUCUGGGGUUGAUGUUGUACAUGUAGUAAACUGAAAAUUAUGAUGACUUACCUUACUCAUUGCCAAACCAACUGCCAGACAACUAUACAAAACAUGAGUGAUUCCGAGAACAAAUAAGAACCGGUGCAGCUGCUCAAGACCUUCAUAUGAAACAAAAGGUUCAUGACCCUGCAUUCAUGUAUUAGUAUUUUUGGAAGGGCUAUGCAGUAUUGCAAAGAAACAAAGAUUUAAUAUUAAGUAUGACAUUGACACUAUAUGCAAGAUAUUUAGUGGCUAACAUUAUACUCACUGCAGUGAAGAAAGCAAAGCUUAAAUGUAGUUGUAAUUAGUGUAUGUUACCUCUCCACAUUGGUUGAAUGCUCCAGUAAUACUAGUUUCAUCAGGGAUAGAUGAUGAUGAGCUUUCCAGCAUGAUAUUCUCAUUUAUGUCCACGUCUUGCUCAGAACAAAUAUAAAAUCGACUGCUAAAAAGUGACGAAGUCACACAAAUUUCAGAGAUCCAUCUUGCACUUUGUGCCAACAGCAAAGAGAUAAGUCCAAGCAACAUCAGCUCUAUCACAAAAGAAAAAACAGAUACUAAUCUUUAAGUCUAAGUCAAUCUCGUAAAACUGGUUUAUAAGAUAGGUUUACACCCAAAUAUAUAAUAUAAAAUAUUCUAAUCUCCGGUUAAUAUGACAUUUACAACAGUAACUCAAGAACAUAAGGCAUAAUGGAAAUGUGAAAUAAUACUCAGUGUCACUACCUUCCUUGAGUUUCUCCAGUGAAGCAAAAAGUGCCUUCCUUCUUGUUUUCUUCAACCACUGCACAACAAGAAAAAAAAGUUUCAUUUCUACUUAUCAUGGGAAGUAGCAACCCAGAAAGUAACCAGUGAAAAGGGUGAUUUGUUCACUCUACAGUGUACUACUACACAUAAAUUUGCAGUGUUUACCUCUCCAAAGCGGUAGAUUGAACGUUCAACCAAUAAGCAGACAAAGACCAUGACAGCAACAACAGAGGCAACUGAAUAUGUUGGUGUCUCAGCCAGAGAGCGACCUCGCUGCAGCACCUCUGCCAUUGUUCACUUCAAAGCAACAAGUUGAAGUCUUUUUCAUGGGAAAAACAUAGUUCCUUGAUUCCACAUAAAUGGAGCCAGAUGGGAUCCAGGGAAUGGGGAAGUGCAGUGCAAAACGGAAGUGUAUCUUAGUUUAAUAAUUAUUUGGUGAAGAAGGUGCAUGUGCACAUUGGAAACUUCACUCACCUUACACAAAAAACUUCAUUAUUUAUUUAAUCUUUAGUUGUUGGUUUAUAUAUAUGUUUUAUGUUAUUUUGGAUUUUGAUAUGUUACUAUACUUUAACCAAAAUAUUCAUAUUUGUUUAUUCUUUUUUGGUGAUAAAAAAAGUUAAUUAUUAUUUUCUGAGGCCACACAACCUUGUUCACUUUCCAGUGUCGUGCUUUUUCCUCUCUCCAAAUCGAAAAGCAUGCACAUGGAGGGUUUCCCAGUCUCCCAGGUAAGUUGCUAAUAAUUUGUAAGUUGGAAGGGUCCCAAUAGAAACCUGGUAUAUUCUAUGCAUGUGGAUGCUGAUACGAUCAAUAUCAAUUCCCAACAAAUCAAACUACAAAAGGAAACAGAAAAUACUAACAGAAAAUAAUAAAAGAACUUUGAUAUAUAAUAUGAUGAGAUAAAGAGGAAUAAGAUACAUUAAUUUGGUAUUUAUAUCAUCAGUUAAAUAUAAGUUAAAUAUAUUUUUCGUUUUUUCUUUUAACAUGAAAUUGGUUUUAAUUCUUGUUCUAAACUUUAGAUUAUCCAGUUAUUUAUAAUAUAGAAAUUAUAGAAAUGAGUUAUUGUAUACGUGAAAUAAUUACAAGUUUUUUCAAGAUUUGUUGAUGUUUUGAUUGUAAAUACUUACUAAAAUUGUUUUUAAUGGUUGAUGAAUUUCAAAUUGAAACAAUUGUAUAUAUUAAAUGAUCUAUUUCAAUCAUUUUUAUACUACAAACAACUGGAUGAUAUAAAAUUUGAACCAGGAACGAAAAUCAGUUGAAGAGACCAAAACCAAUUUCGUGUCUUAGAAUUUAAGGUUUAGUACAUGGACGUUAAAAUCUUCAAGAUUUUGUUUUUAGAGUGGUGUUUAAUUUUUUAAAUAAACUCUUAUUAAGGUUUGAUUCUCAAAAUGAUAGAAAAAAACUCAUCAGAACAAAUAAUCACUAUUAAGCAUGAUUUUCAAAUGAGUAUUAUUCGUUGAAAAAAUGCAUAUAUACUUCACACUUUAUUGAGUUAUUCAUUUAUUUUAAGAUAAUUUUAUGUUUGAAAACAAAUGAUAAUCUAUCAUGAAUAUUAGUUUCUUAUGUUUUUUAUAUAUUUUAAAACAAAUAUAGGAUAUUAAUUUUUUUGAGUCAUAUUUUAAAUAUUUUAAAAAUAAAUUAUUAACAAUUAAAAGUUACUUUUGAUCACAAUAUAACUAUUUACUAUACAGAUAAAAUAUAAUUUGAAUCUAACUUUCUUGAAUUGAAAAGUUCAAAUAAUGUAAAAGACUAUAAUGUCUUAAUCAUCUUGUCUUAUUGAAUAUAAAUAUAUCAAGUGUUGAAAAAUAAAUGAGGCGUGGAUCUAAUUUUUAUAAACUUAAAGAAAAGUUGUAAUGGUGUAAAAAUACUACAAUAGAUUUAUUUUCUUAUUUUAUAUAUCUAUAAAAUAUAAAAAAAUAAUAAUCUUUAUGGACAAAAGUUGUGAGAUUAUCUUACUUUUAAGCUAAAUGCUUAGAUAAUAAUUUUAUUUAAUAAAUACUUUCAUUUUAAUUAUACAAGUUUAUAAAUUGUAUAAAUACAAUUAUUAAUAGUUUAGUGAUUUGAUGAUAAAAUACUUAAACCUUUGUAAAUAGGAUUUAAAAAUUUGAAUUUAAUCUUUUGGUGAUAUUAGUAAUCCAUUGUGAUGUUAGUAUCAAAUAGUGACACAUGUUAGAAUAAACUAUCCACAGUGUACACAUGUCCUAUUAGGUUAACACAAUCUUUUUUUUAAGUGUAAUUUAAUUGAACUAUUUAUUUUAUUUAGACUUACUUAUUAAAAUUGUUUUAAAGAGAUUAAUUUUAAUUCGUGUUAUGGUUUGAGUAUUAUUUAAAAAAAAAAAAUUGUGCUUUAAGUACUCUUAGUGUAAUUUAUUUGAGUUAUAUUUUUAAAGUGAUUUUUGGAUAAUUCAAUUUAAAAAUACACAAAUAUUUAUUUUAAAAUAUAUCUAUAAAUAUUCAUAAAUACCCGCGAUUAUUUUUCUCUCAUAACCUAUGUAGCCUAGACACUAACACACAGACAUUGAUUCGACAUGUACACGAAUAUAUGUAUAAUAUUUAAAAUGUAGGACACAAAUUUAUAUAUUAUAUAAUUAUAAAUUAUAUAAAUUGAUAAUAAAGAUUUAUGUUUAUGUGCACAAGUAUGUUUUAAUUUUUUUAGAAAAAAUAUGUUUUUUUUAUGUCUAGUUAAAAAAAUUGUUUUUUUAUUUUUAUAAUCAUAAUAAAAAUUUAUAUAAUAAGUUUGAAUUUUUAAAAAAUUAAUAUUUUUUUAAAAAAAUUGCGUUAGAGUCGUGCUAUAAUUGUCAGAAAUGCAAUAAAUAUUUUUUUAAGUAGACACUUCACUCAUACAUAUCUUACGAGAUGUCCAAUAUAUAUAUUCGACACGAAAAUAUUAUUUAAGAGUGAUUUCCAAACCUUAGGUCAAAACUCAACAAAUGGAUAAUAUAUUUUUUAUUUUUUAUUUUUCUUACAAUUGUUUUUUUUUUUAGUAUUUGUUGUUCUAUCAAUACACAUAUUACUAAUUUUUGUAUAGUUAAAUAUGGGAUUUUUAAGGACAACCUUGUUAUAUUUAUUCAGGGAAAGUCACAUAUAAUAUAAUACUUUAUCUAAAUUUCCUUACUACACUUAUUUCUUUGUUAUAUUAUUGCUUCAAAUUUUAAAUAUCAAUAAGAGAAAAUAUUAUUAUUUUAUUAAUUAUAAAAGAAUACUUUAUAUAUUACAUGUAAGAAAAAAAUUGAAAGAAAAGGGGGUUGCAUAACCAUUCAUACCAUUUAUUCCGUUCCUUAAACCAUUGAAAUUGAGCCUCAAAUAUUAGAAGAAAGAGAUUCCUAAAACCCUAAUCUUCCAAAACCCUACACUCUCUCAUGGCGUCGUCGUUAAUUCGCCUCCGCCGAACCCUCAGAGCACUCUCCGGCGUCACCCACUCCAUCUCCGCCGCGCAUGCGUCGUCCAUUUCGGCCCCUAUCAGGUGCGCCGUUCCAUGGAGUUCCCACUCUCCGAAGGGUGUGGUUCAGUCCCGUUCUUUCAGGUCAUCAUCAGCUUCUUUUCUCUCUGUUAGAUCCUCGCAGAGCAACAUCCCCGACGAGAUUGGUCCCGAUACCAUUCUCUUCGAGGGCUGCGACUACAACCACUGGCUCUUCGUCAUGGACUUCCCCCGAGACAACAAACCCUCUCCCGAAGACAUGGUUCGCGCUUAUGAGGAAACUUGUGCCAAAGGCCUCAACAUCAGGUUCCUCACUUCAUCUCUCGUACAACUCUUCCUAUCACAAUGUUUUGAUUAUAACUCGUUCGCAUACACCAAAAAUAAGUUAGAUUAUGAAAAAAAUAUCGAUGAGUGCGAGCAACACACUCUAUUAUCGAUAACUGCAAAAUCAUGUGUGGAGGUCGUUGAUUAAAAUUAGAAACAGUGAAAUUUUGUGAUUUUCAGCCAAUUUUAGUUGAGAGCGUGUUGAUGUGUUGGUACUGGUGGUCUUUACUUGAAUAUUUGGGUUUUUUUUCAGUGUGGAAGAGGCGAAGAAGAAGAUAUAUGCGUGCAGUACAACAACUUACACAGGCUUUCAGGCAGUCAUGACCGAAGAAGAGUCUAAAAAAUUUGAAGGUAUUUGUUCCUGCUUCUCACUCUCGAAUUCCAUGAUCAUGUCGAGAAAAUAUAAUUUGGUGUUUGAUUUGUUGCAUCUUAACAGGUCUUCCUGGAGUCAUCUUUGUGCUACCAGAUUCCUAUAUUGAUCCAGUGAACAAGCAGUACGGGGGUAUGGUUAUUUUUUUCUUUUCAGAAGUUUGAUUGGAUUUAUUCAUUACUUGUUCAAAUUUCAGUAUUUGCUAUAUCAUGUGCACUUCAACAGUUUGCUACCCUUUUGAUUACAAGAAUGUUUCUGAAAUAAAGUUUUCGUGGUUGAUAAAUAGGAGAUCAGUACAUUGAUGGAACUAUUAUCCCUCGACCUCCACCAGUACAGUAUGGGAGAAAUCAAGGAAGACGAGACCGGAAUAGGAGUCCUGGUCAGUACAACCGACAAGAGAAUCCCUCUUAUAAUAGUCAGGAGUCCAUGCAUGGGGAUGGAAGGAACUAUGGACCUUCACAAAAUUAUCCACCCUCACAGAACUAUGGUCAAGCAUCACAGAAUUAUCCACCUCAGCAGAACUAUGGUCAAUCAUCACAGAAUUAUCCGCCUCAGCAGAACUAUGGCCAAGCAUCUCAGAAUUAUCCACCCCAACAGAAAUAUGGCCAGACCUCACAGAACAAUCCUUCCCAACAAAGUUAUGGCCAGACAUCACAGAACAAUCCUUCCCAACCAAAUUAUGGCCAGACAUCACAGAACAAUCCUCCCCAACAAAAUUAUGGCCAGACAUCACAGAACAAUCCUCCCCAGCCAAAUUAUGGUCAAUCAUCUCAGAAUUAUCCACCACAACAGAGAUAUGGCCAGACAUCACAGAACUAUUCUCCCCAACAAAAUUAUGGCCAAGCAUCACACAAUUAUCCACCCCAACAGAAUUAUGGUCAGGCAUCACGCAAUUUUCCACCCCAACAAAAUUACGGUCAGACACCACAAAAUUAUCCACCCCAGGAGAACUUUAAUCAAGCAUCGCAGAAUUAUCCACCUCAUGCUCAGCAGCAGGGCUUUGGACCUCCAGGACAAGGGGAAAGGAGUUAUAUGCCACAGCAGAACUUUGGACGACCGGGACAAGGGGAAAGAAGAGAUACUGUGCCUAGGCAUGGUGCUUCAGAUGUGAGGGAUGAUACUUUUAUACCGUCAUACAUGAAGGAAUUUGAACAGGCUGAGCAGCAGGGGAAUCAACCUUCUGGCCGAGGCAAUUUUACUGGAGAGGUAUUGUAGAGAACCAAAAUUGAGUACAUUCAAGUUUCUGAGUCAAAUUAGUCAGAAUAGAGAUUAAAACUGAUGUUAAUAUUUAGUUCAAUAUAUUUUAUUGCGGGUCUGUAUUCGUUGAGGCUAGAUCUUUGCUAUUGGAAAAAAUUUCAACUUUGUCUCUAUCAAUACAAAAGAUAACUUGCUUUUGUUAUUUUUUGCAGGGAAGAUAUUGAGAGUAGUCGGAGACAUGUGGGCGGCUUGUAUUAAAGUACUAAUCACAUUCUAAGCUGAUUUGCAUGUCCUUUCCAUUUGGUGGAAUAUUGAUUUAUUGAGCUGUCGGUGUGUAUCGAUUAACUUUUAGUUCAUGCACUGCUGUGACAAAGUUGGAUGUGGUAUGUAAUUUAGUACUGGCUGCUACCUUGUUUUUUGAACAUGGUUGAACUCUGAAUUUCACGUGGUACUUUGCUCUCUUACUCCUCUUUCUCGUUCUCAUUGUGACGAACGAAACAGUUAAUAAUUGUGAAUUUGCUCUGUAUCAUGUGGCAAAUUGGUCAGUUUCCAUAGGCAGCCUAGUGCCAUAGCCCACACCCAACGUCCAUGUCUUACUCUUUUGUUUGAUAUCUUAAUUUGGCAUAUAUUUCAAGUUUUGGAAGAUCUAAUUCUUCUGAUGAUAAAAGUUGUUAGUGAGAAGUGCGGUUGAAGCAAAGAAGAAAAGGAUUAUUGUGCUAAUGACUGAGAAUAGUGGGCAUUAAAACAUAUUCAAAGAAUGUUCUUGGUCUGGCUUCAAUGUGUCUGAGGCUCCCAAGGAAAAUCAGACUUCUAUUAUCAGUGGCAGUUUUGAGGCUUAAGCUGAAAUGACAUGGAUAUAUGAACUCCUUCCACGUAUAAUCACUGAAUUCUAAUGCUUCUUUACACGAACAACAAUAAAUAUUAUUCUUAACAUCAAUUUUAGUAAAACAAUAUCACUCUUUCAAUAAAUGUAUUGGCAAAAUAAUGCUUUGUUGAAGAGUAAGGAAAUAGAUUAAUUGACAAACAAAACUAUUAAGACUGUUGGCAACACACUCGAAAAGGAUCUACUGAAAACAAAAGAUUUGCCUGAUUGAAAAAAAAAACAUCAAGAAAAGGAAGGGAUAAUAACUUUUUUUUUGCAAAUAAAUUUUAUUUACAAGUUGAAGUUGUACCACACCAAAUAUAAAGUAGUCAUAUAAGAAAAUACUAAAGAUAAUCACAUUAAAUUGCAUUAUUACCCAUAUGCUCAAUAACAAAAUUCUUUCUCCAAUAAAUUCCAAAUACAAGAUAAUCCUUCUAAAGGCUACUAACAUUGCUAUAGUAAAGGUCUCGAUUAAAGGGCAUUACUGAACCCUAAAACAGGAACUAAAUUUCUUCUUUUCAAAAGAAAAUAAAAAAGAACAUUAACAAUUGAUUACAACAAAAAAUUACAGACAGACGAAUAAGAAAACUAGAAAUUGAAAUUUAAUUGAAUAUUCUAACAACAACGCCAAAUUUAAUCAAUGUCAUACUCAACCAAAUUAAAAAAUUAAAAUAUAAAUAGCCGACUUCACAAAAACGACAAUAAAAUUCAAUUAUAAUAGUUGAUAUGUUUUUUUUACCUAUUAAAUUAAGCAAAUAAUUGUAUGGAAUUAAGUAAAUUAAACAUAAAUUAUAAUUAACGAACAAAAUCAAGUUAUCGCGUUAAAAAACAAUUCCAAAAUCAAGGAUCAGAAGUAAAAAAAAAAAACAUAUUAUCUAGUGCAAUCUAACACAGAAAUUGAUGAACAGAAAUCACACGAGAAAACAUAAUAUGUUACAUAUGCCAAUUAGGUUAGUGCACUUAAGAAUAUAAAUUCAACCAAUAAUUACAGUUAAAGUCCAAUUAAAUUACAUUAUAUGAAUUCUAAUUGAAACUAAGUGAAAUGUAUUUAUCCUUAAAUUCAUCUUGAAUUAAUAUAAUUUCAAUCAAAAGAUUAAAAAAAAAAACUAUUAAAAAUUUAGAACAAUCGACCACAGUGGGAGUCGAACCCACGACCUUCUGAUCCGAAGUCAGACGCGCUAAUCCACUGCGCUAUGCGGUCUUUGUUGACUAUUCUACAUUCAAAUAUUUUAAAUAUGUUAUUAUUAGAUCCUUUUGGUUACAACUGAACCAUUGCUAUAACGUAUUUUUGUCAAUACAAGUAUGUGGGUAGUUAUUUUAUGCAUGAACUCACUGGAAGCGACGUCGUUUCAGAUAAAGUGAAAAAUUAGAAUAAAGCGGGAGUUAGGGUUCGAGCACAACCUUGUUCGUGUGCGAGGGUUGCAGAGAGAAGCGAAUCGAAUCGGAAUGAGCGGUUGGGUGAAGCGACGCGGCGACGGUGUCGUCGGGAGCAGCAGAGAGGAAGAUCAGCUCAUAGUCACUCCAUUAGGCGCCGGAAAUGAGGUUGGCCGUUCCUGCGUCUACAUGUCCUACAAAGGCAAAAUCGUCUUGUUCGAUUGCGGCAUUCACCCUGCUUACUCCGGCAUGGCCGCUCUCCCCUAUUUCGACGAGAUUGACCCUUCCACCGUCGACGUCCUCCUCAUCACUCACUUCCACUUGGACCACGCCGCCUCCUUGCCCUACUUUCUCGAGAAAACCACCUUCCGUGGCCGCGUUUUCAUGACCUACGCCACCAAGGCCAUUUACAAGCUCCUCUUGUCCGAUUUUGUCAAAGUCAGUAAAGUCUCCGUCGAAGACAUGCUCUAUGACGAACAGGACAUCAACCGCUCCAUGGAUAAAAUCGAGGUUCUCUUCUCAUUUUCGCCUUUUCUGCUUCUCGCUACUUAAAUUUACUUCUCCGUCACUACUCGUAGAAGGAAAAUUAACAAGGUGUGGUGAAUUCAGUUUUUCGUAUAAGCUAAGCAAAAUCAACUUCCAAUUUAUUUAUCUAGGGUUGUAGUUUAGUUUAUCUCUUUAAUGUUUGCUUACAGAAAUUUGUGACUGCAGGUGAUAGAUUUCCAUCAAACAUUGGAAGUGAACGGUAUUCGAUUCUGGUGUUAUACUGCAGGACAUGUGCUUGGUGCUGCUAUGUUCAUGGUUGACAUCGCUGGUGUCCGAGUUCUUUAUACUGGAGAUUAUUCGCGCGAGGAAGAUCGGCAUCUCCGAGCUGCUGAGACCCCACAGUUUUCCCCCGAUGUUUGUAUUAUAGAGUCCACCUAUGGUAUACAGCACCAUCAGCCUCGGCACACUCGGGAAAAACGCUUCACUGAUGUUAUUCACUCCACCAUUUCUCAGGGGGGUCGUGUGUUGAUUCCAGUAUUUGCCCUUGGUCGUGCACAGGAGCUCCUCCUGAUCCUUGAUGAGUAUUGGGAAAAUCAUCCAGAGCUUCAGAAUAUACCCAUCUAUUAUGCUUCUCCUCUUGCAAAAAAAUGUUUGACCGUGUAUGAAACAUAUACCCUUUCCAUGAAUGACAGGAUCAAGAAUGCUAAGUCGAAUCCCUUUUCCUUCAAGCACGUGUCAGCUUUGAGUAGCAUUGAUGUUUUCAAAGAUGUGGGACCGUCUGUUGUGAUGGCAAGUCCUGGUGGGCUUCAGAGUGGUUUGUCACGACAACUAUUUGAAAUGUGGUGCUCUGAUAAGAAAAAUGCUUGUGUUUUACCAGGGUAUGUUGUUGAAGGGACAUUGGCAAAAACCAUCAUCAAUGAACCCAAGGAGGUUACUCUCAUGAAUGGACUCACUGCACCGCUUAACAUGCAGGUGCACUACAUUUCCUUUUCUGCUCACGCUGACUCUGCUCAAACAAGUGCUUUCUUAGAAGAGCUCAAUCCCCCUAAUAUAAUUCUUGUUCAUGGGGAAGCUAAUGAGAUGGGCAGGCUCAAACAGAAGCUUAUGAGUCAAUUUGCUGAUCGCAACACCAAAAUUCUUACUCCGAAAAACUGUCAAUCUGUUGAAAUGUAUUUCAAUUCCCAGAAAAUGGCAAAAACCAUAGGGAAGCUGGCUGAGAAAACACCGGAAGUUGGCGAAACUGUCAGUGGUUUACUGGUAAAAAAAGGCUUCACAUACCAGAUAAUGGCACCUGAUGAUCUCCAUGUCUUUUCACAACUAUCAACAGCAAGCAUCACUCAGAGAAUUACCAUUCCUUAUUCUUGUGCCUUUAAUGUCAUUCGGCAUAGACUAAAACAGAUAUAUGAGAGUGUUGAGCAGUCAGUGGAUGAGGAAUCUGGAGUUCCUACAUUGCAAGUCCAUGACUGCGUUACUGUGAAGCAAGAAUCUGAAAAGCAUAUCUCCUUGCAUUGGGCAGCUGACCCCAUUGGGGACAUGGUAUCAGAUUCAAUUGUUGCUCUGAUUUUAAAUAUCAGCCGUGAUGUCCCAAAAAUAAUGGAUGAAGCUGAUGCCGUUAAAAUUGAGGAAGAGAGUGAGAAGAAGGCAGAGAAGGUUAUGCAUGCCCUCCUCGUUUCACUCUUUGGAGAUGUGAAGAAAAGUGAAAAUGGUAAAUUGAUAAUCAGCAUUGAUGGGAAUGUAGCAGAGCUCAACAAAGAAAGUGGGGAAGUUGAGAGUGAAAAUGAAGGUCUCAAGGAAAGAGUAAAGACAGCAUUCCGCCGUAUUCAGAGUUCUGUGAAGCCAAUUCCUCUUCCUGCACCAUAGUCUAUUCCUUUUCUUGCAUUGUCUUGGGAAGGUUCAAUGCCACCAAACACUUGCUCACAUGAGACAGUUAUCAUAACAUGUAGUUACUGUAUCUUUAGAAUGACGAGCUUGGACACAACAUUCUCUGCCCCAUUUUUGUUAUUCAUCGAACAUUUAAUCAUUUAGUCUUCAAAUGUUUUAUUAAUGUGUCUUUAAUUUUUCUGUCUGUCAUUUUCUAGCUGAUAGCGAUGGUGCGCAUGAUUGAAUACUGAUCUCCUUGUUUCUAAAGCAUACUGAUUUUCUUUUAAUUCAUGAAUGAUUGAAUUUUGCUUACCAUGGAUCUUGUGCUGGGAAAUACAGUGUUGGACUGUUAGGUUUGAUGUUCUAUUUACCUAAAAACUAGUAGUGUGUCUCAGAUGAUUAAGGGUUCAUGAUUAUCACCAAAUAACUUUCGAUGUUCGGAAUCUUAAUAAAUUAAAAGAAUGUAAAUGAUUUAGUAUGCCUAUUUCAGGAAUGCUCUUUUAAUUUUUUAACAGAAGAAUCUUUGAAGUAUUAUUUUAUUUUAAUCUAAUAAUGUUGGUGCUAAGUGUAUCUGGGAUCAAAGUACGUGCAAUUUGAAUUUAUCACGAUUUGUUUCCCCAUGAGAUACCGACAUAAAAAUGGAGAUUAACCAAUCUGUUUUCCCCUCGCGAAAUGAUGAUGUUAAAGAGAAUAUUAAAAGUUAAAACACUUUAAAUUUAUAAGAAAUCUUUUAUUGAAAAAUAUAAUAUUUAAAUCUAAUGAUUUUGAAUAAAAAAUAUUAUUUACCAGUUUCUUAAUUGAUAUCUAAAGAUACUCAUUGGUAGGAUUCUUUAGAAUGGCAGUAUAAAUAUCAUCUUAGACACUUCAUCUUUUUCGCAAAAUAAUUUUACAUUUUGUUUAAAUCUUAAAAAAAAUGAAGCUUUUUUUGUCUAUAAUUUAGUAAUAAAAUUGUAAUAGUGACAAAUUAAUGUUAAAAAAGGAAUUUAAAUAGUUAUAAUUGACAGCUAACCAUAAAAAUAAAAUAAAAAAUACUAGUUUUCUCUUAAAUUUAUUAAAUAAUCUGAAUUAUAUUAAAAAACACGUCCUCUUUUGAUCAGAAUGCAUAAAAUAUUGUCAUUCUAUUGAUUUCCUCAUUAAUAUUAAACAAAAGUUAAAGAUGCUAAUUUUCUUGAAACAAAUGAAAGACAAAAAAACACUUAAUAAAAUAGCAUAUUUCCAUUUUAUAGUUUAUUUAAAUAAUUACUUGAAAUAUUUGUUAAUUUUCAAUUGCAACAGCUAAUAACAAGAUGGAGAGAGCAGUAAUAGAAUAUUGGAUUUUAAAGGUUAUAGCAGUAAUGGAGUAUUAAGUUUGAUGAAUAACAAGUAAAUGUAUUAAUUCCCAAGUUCAAAAGUAUCAAAAGCGAUGAGAUGAAUAAUAAGAUAAGAAAACAUAAAAUAUGGGGCUCAUAAACUAGUAUAUGGAUAUUUAAAGGAAUUUGAAACUAGCCUAUACUCUUGAAAAAAAUUUAGCAGUAACAUCUAAGAUGUCACAUGACAUUAGACUGCAGUUUUCUUGUUCCUGAAAUUCUCCUUCAUCAUUGCAAAUUUUUUCUUACACUGAUUCACAGUCUUCCCAGGUACAGCUGCUGCAACUCUCUCCCACCUCUGGCUUGUUUCCUUUGGAAAGGCUUUUAGAGCUUGAACCAGUGCUCGUUCAUGCACUGCAGACCACACAUCCUGUUCUGAACUGGAAGAAACUCCAUUAGCAGAUGCAGAGUUCUGAUUAUCUGUAUUCUUGCUGUGAGAAUCUUCUGUGUUAUUGGUUGAGGCAGGAGUUGGAGUUGGAGUUGAUACCCCUUCUAAUUCUUCUCUGGUUGUCAGUGGAGACUCAAUUGAUUGUGCACCAGGUUUCCUUUUCUCAAGAAAAGUGUCAAAAGCUUUUGAUGAAUCAGGUUUCUGGAGGAGUACAGUUUUAGUUGCCUUCAUUAUUUCUUCAACAGAUCUUCCAGUACCAAUGUAUUCUGAAAUAACCUCCCAUCUCCUUGAAGUUCCUUUGGGGUAUUUCUGCAUUCCUUUCCUCAGUAGAUCAAUCUCUUCUUUACUCCAAGGUUUCUCCUCCUUCUUCUCAACAUUGCUUCUCGAAGCACUGCCAUUAGCCUUGAUGGAACCAUUGGAAUUUUGUUGAUUGGUUUUCUCAUCAGCCUUGAUGGUUUUCUCAUCUUUCUUAGAGCUCAGAGCGUCUCUCAAAACACUUGCUUGCUCUAAUAAAACCUGCCUGCCUUCCAUGUUCUCACAUAGACUCCUCAUCUGCUCAAUAUCAAGUGACAUGCAAAGCCUUUCUACAUCAUCAUCAGAAAUAUCAAGCAAACGUUGGGACAGAAUAGGUCCUGAAAGAGUCCGGAGGCGAGCUCGCUCCUUUCGCAACAGCUUUUUCUCUUUCUCUUUGACCUUCUUCUGUUGUAAGGCAGCUUCUGCAGCUUGUCUCUCUUCCUCCUCUUUUCUCUGCUUCUCCUCCUCUGCAAUUCUGGCUGCUUCUUCUUCCUGCAAUUUCUUUGCCAGGAACUUAGCCUCCUUUUUCCUUUGUUUCUGAGCUUUUUCUUCUUCCUUUCUUCUAGAUAUUCUGGGGUCCCUCUUGUAAGCAUUAUCAACAAGAGUACGAAUCCGUGCAUAGUCCUCCUUCCUAGCUUUUUCUGUCAAUUUUGCAUUCUGCCUUUCCAUCCACCUCUUGUGGUCUCGAGAUUCAGCUUGCUCGAGAUCAAACUCAUCAGCAUGUGGAAACUCCCUCCAACUUUUAAAGGAGUACCAAAAAUUGUAGAAAUUAUCAACUUCUUUUAAUGGAGUAUUAUCAUCACCUAGUGUAGGAAUUGGUUGAUUAACCGACCAUCGUCCGUUCCUCAUAAAAGCAGGACCAAACACCUUAAAGAAAUCUUGUGGAGCACAAUCAGUGGGAAUCUCGUCAUCAAACUCAUCAGUGGAAUCAUAAAUCCUUCUCUUCACAGAAUCAGUCAGCACUUCAUAUGCUUCCUGGAUUGCCUUGAAGUGACUUUCUAUUUCAUCCUUCUUUGCUUGUUUCGCAGCUUCAGUUUCCUCAGCCAAAAGAAGGGCAGCCUGCUUGUCAGGAUGAAACCUCAAGGCAGUUUCACGAUAGCUUUUACGGAUUUGAUCCUCAGUAGCCAGAUACCUUAGAUGACCCAGACCCAAUAAUGCAUAGUGAUCUUGUUGCUUGUCCCCAGUACCAGAUUUCUUUUUGCUUUUGCUGCUAUAAGAAUCAGAUGGAAGGUACGUUUGUUCCUUAUCAUCAACCACCUUUUUGUCAUCAGCCUCAUUCUUCUCUUCCUGAACACCACGAAGUUUAAGUGCAGCAGAAUGGAAAGAAUGACCUGCAGGUUCAUAUUUCAAAGCCUUCGUCGGAAGACAGUUUGAAGAGACAAAAAUAGGUUGUCCAUCUACAAUCUCUUGUGAGUAAGUAAUAAGACGGAAUUUUGUAUGUACAGCCAUAAUGGUGGCCUUUCAGAACAAAGAAAUAUGUCUCCCCUCAAAUUUAACACCGCAACCUGCAUUCAAAUAAAAACUCAGUUAGACAAUUCCCAGUCCCUUGACUUCAAUUAAACAAACAUCUAAAUCAUUAUUUUAAUAGAAUGAGAUAUUUUCUUUAAGAGAAAGUGGACUACAACUGCGAAGUGAAGGGAAAAAAAGGCCAAUAAUGCAACAAGGAUGCCCAAUCUCAAAGCAUAUUAGAUACAGCAACUCUCUUGAUGCAGCAAUGAACGGAUUAAUAGAACACCAAAGAUGAGCACUCUGUUAAAAACUUUUAGCUAAUACACCACAGAAUUUAAAACAAGCCAAAAACUGUUUCAGAGUAGACCUAAACAACUAUUGCUCCUCCAAGCAGCAUUAUCUAAGAAGUAAGGCCAAAAUUCAGCCAUAUAAACAUGUCAUUGCAGCCUAUGCAAUUUGGCAUCACCAGUUAACAACAUUGCCAACAGAAGGCAAUCGAAAUAUUUUAUAAUGGGAAAGUAGCCAUCUUACAGUGAAAAAAGAACAAAAACACAACACACUGAGCUUUGUUUUCAUGAAGGUGGUAGAAGUGAGACAUACAACACUGAACAGAAAAGAAGUAGCUUAUUGGCAAGUUUGCACUGUACAAAGAUGAAAAAGGCAACCACUGGCCUCUCAGAAAGAGGCAUAUUUUUUAAAAAUAAUGUUUUUCCAAACUAAGACGAGAAAGGGUUACAGAUACAUUAAAUAGGUAUUCAGUUACUGCACCUGGGCUUAAAAUACACGCAUUGAAAUACAAUUAACUAGAUAUCAAAGAACUAAAAACAUGGGUAAUUAGAGGGAAAGUACUGUGUAUGACCUCCGAAAGUAAAUAUCGAUUCAGCUUCACAUUAACUGCAAACAUACCAAAAUUCAUUAAACUCUCAAACCUAAGGCAAAAAACAGUUUAGACAAACAUAGUUCCGCCAAUUCUUCCCACUUCCCUCCCUAACUUCAUCAAACGAAUAAAAUAAAAUAAAAUCACCCCAUUCAAUGAAGACAAAAGGUAAAGGAAAUAACACAUCCAAAACAUCUUUAGUUAAGUAAAAAACAGCCUAAAGCUACCAUUAUGUUAACAUAAAAUUCAUAUUGUAACAGUGGUCCUGCAGAAGAGCCUUUUUCUCAAAGCAUGAGAACGAAAAUCCGAAAAACAUGAAAAAAUGAGGACAAGAAACAUUGAAAAGGCAUAAUAAUUUUUUUCUACUGAAGAUUGUAAUUAACUGAGUGCAUGUUGGGUUCCACAUCUGGGAUCGACAAUUAGGGUAAAAUCACGUCGAAGACAAUGCAAAAGCAACAUGCUCCCAGAUACACAGUAACAAGAUUUGUGGAUUUCCUUUAAGUAGUAUCCAACACCAAAACUAAAAAAACUUCAACAAAGAAACCGCAGAAGAUGAAAGAACAAUUAUAAACGAAUAAACGAAAAGUACACAAAUUCAAUCAACCAUGAAGAAAAGAAAAAAAAUAACCCAGUUAAACAAACCGAAAGGGCUGAAGCUAAACUGAAAAGGGUUUCAGAUAUAUGCAGAGAAAGGUUACAGCUGUACCCAGAAACCGAGAAAAGUGUAGGUGAUGCAGGAGGAGAAGUGGAAGGAAAACAGAUCGUGAUUGGCAUGUGGGGUGUGUGAUGCAGAAAGUGAUGAGAUGGGAAAACGAAGAGGAAGAAGAAAGAUGAAAGCUUUACCAAGAAAAAAGGAGGGAGGAAUCACGGAAUGAAGGGAAGAAGAAGCCGACUCUGAAGAGCACAACACAAGAGAAGGAAAGCUUUGGUUUUGGUUUGGGCAUUUUAUAUGUGGCAACACCCACUGCCCUAUCUCUCUCUCUCUCUUUCCAAAAAUAAAUCAACAUUAUAUUAAGAACCCUAACAAAAUAUUUCUUCAUCUCAAUUUCCUUAUUUUGCAUAGAAUAAAAUAAUAUAAAUUUAAAUUAAUUGGUUAUUAUUUUUAAAAUAGAUUUGAAAUUUUGAUGUAAUAUCUAUCAUAUCAUUUUAAAUAUAAUUUGUUAUAAAUCAUAACAAAUUUAUCGCGUAUGUGAACAGAUAAUAUUUACAUUAACUUCUCUUUAAAUUUUAAAGCAAAAAUAAAUAAAAAAUGUUGAGAAUGCUAUAUUUUGUGAAAAAACUAGGUUAAGAAAAAUAUUUCAAGUGUGUGAAUUUUACCUGAAUUGAAAAAAGUCCUUAAGAUGGAUCUUUGUUCCUCAAAUUGGACCCAAUUAUCAUGAGAAUACUUAUGAUUAUGAUUGAUGAAAAUAAUUUUCUUACUCAACACCAUAUACAUAAGUAUAUUUAGGUCUCGUGCAAGUGUAAAAUAAAAUAAAAUAAGAUAAAAUAAGAUAAGAUAAAAUAAAAUAAAAUAUUUGUUUCUUCGACGAUAAUUUUCUUCUCUUCUACAUUUCUUGUUUCUUGCAAUACAUGCCAAAAACGUUUUGAACUUUUACCUCCAAUAACAAAAACUAAGACAAAUGUGGGGAAAGUAAAAGAUUUCUUUCACACCUUUGAAAACAUAUACUUAUACCACAUUAUAAUAAAUAAUAAUAUUUAAAAAUAAAAAAUAAAUUAUCUAGUAAAAUAAUAUAAAAAUACAAAUAGAAUUCAAAUUUUAAAAAGUAAAAUAAUAUAAAUACAAUUGAACACAGUUUAUAUCUAUUUGGUUUAGUACAUAAUUUUUUUUAAUAAUCUUAACGUUAUCAAAGUUUUAUUAUCUAGUUCAAUAGGAACUUAAUCACCACCUUAAGGCUCAAAUCCUAUCCAAAACCAAAACAAAAUGGUGUUUAAGUUAUGAAUGCAUGAAAGAAAUUUGAAAACCUUGCAUGUUUUCUCCAUAUUUUCAAAUGAUAAGAAGAGAUUAAAAUUGUAAUUUCAGGUCUUAUAUGAGGUGAGAAAGAAGACAUGGAGGUACAGAAAGAAAUUCCCUAUAAGGCAUUGGUUAAAGCCUCACAAAAUAGCCCAAUAAAUUUGAGGUCCACAAUCAAAUUAUUUUCACUCACUAAUAUAACUAUUCUUGUCCUUUUACAUUUAUACAUCCACCUGUUCAGAUCAAUCCACAUAAAUUCUGAACAUAACUUUAAAUAAAUUAAAGUUAAAUAUACUUUAAAUUUAAUUAUCAACUGCACAUUAUUUCCAUACUAUUUUUAAUAUACAAAAACACAAGUGGUUACAAUAGAAAAUAACACAUCUGAAAUUUAUGAAGAAGUUAUAACUUAUCUUAAAUAUAUAUAAAUAUGAUGUCCCUUUCAAUGCAUGUUGAUAUGUUGAUGAAUAUAUAUAGCAUAUGGUUUAGGUAAAGAGAGAGAGAGAAAGAAUGAGCAUGCAUUUCCAUUACUAGAAAUAGUGUUAUAUGGUGAGUUUGGUGAAGACUUAGAAGCACUGAAUAAUGGCUACCAUUUUCAUCUUCAUCUUCUUCUUCUUCCUCGUACCCUCUUGUAACCACCUCAAACCUUCUUUUUUUGUUUCUAAUUUUUCAUUUCUAUUGUCACCAUUCAUAUCUCUUUCACUGGGAAUGCAGAUGGAUUCGACUCGUUGGAUCCUCUUGGCAACAUCACCAUCACAUGGGAUUAUUUCUCCGACAACGGGAAUUCAGUCGACGUAACCAUUUCUACUUUUUAUUUUUCUAACUUACGUAUUCUGUUCUGAUUUACCCUUUUUAUGGGCUCUUCAUCAUCGCCGUCUAAGAAGAUAUCAAAGUGACUUAGUCAGAAUGUCUGCGGGUUUUCGAUGUUCUUAAGGAAACAGUGAGAUGCGUACGCUUUGUUUGUUUGUUUUUUAGGGUUAUGUUCGGUCUCUUGUAUACUUCCAAUCACUUCAUGCCACGUCAGCUAAACAUAGUGCAUUUCUUUGGCAAUAUAUGAGGCCAUUCUAGUAGUUCACUCUGUCUCAAUAGUCUCGUCUACGUGGGUUGCUGUUCAAGUGUAUGUAACAGUUUCUAGAUUAAUCAAGAUUAAGAUAUAUAAGUGUUUAUAAAUCUCACUUAUAAGCUAGUUUUAUAAAAUUGAUUAUCAGAGUAAUUCCAAACUUAAUCUAAUUAUUUGUUGGAUUUAUCAGUCUACCCAACACGAAUUGGUAAACUCGAUGUGCAGAUGUGUUGAAGAUUCACGUUAACUAGAGAUUAUGACUUAUAAAUACAUGCAAAUCUCACUUUAUAAACUGAAUUAAGCUUAAAGUUAACCUAUAGUUUCGUAUAAAUACUGAACUGCAAUAGCAUGCAUGGUAACAAGUGCGAUUUAUGGUGUGUUUGGUUUACUUGGUAGGUGAGGGUAUCACUGAACAACUUGCAGCUAUUUCGUCACGUGGAGGAACCCGGUUGGAAUUUGGGUUGGGCAUGGAAAGGUGAUGAGGUGAUUUGGGCUAUGUUGGGAGCAGAGGCAAAGGAGCAAGGGAAUUGCACAAGAUUUAGAGGACAACAGAAACCACACUGUUGCCAGAAGGAGCCUGUUAUCAUUGAUCUCAUGCCUGGAACCCCCUACAACAUGCAGACUGCAAAUUGCUGCAAAGGUGGGGUCCUAACAUCCCUAAAACAAGAUCAUUCCAAAGGUGGCGCCACCUUCCAGAUGAAUUAUAUCAAAGCUUCAGUCUCCGAUUCAGGUGGCAGUUUUAGCAUGCCUGAGAAUUUCACCCUUGGAGUUCCUGGCUAUAGCUGUGGGACACCCUUUCAAGUCCCCCCAACCAAGUUUACCAAAGAUGGACACAGAUGGCAACAAGUCUUGGGUCAGUACUGCUUCUUAAUAUCUCUUUUAUGCCUCACAAAGUUACCUCAGAAUCGUUAAUAACUCUACUUAUGUAUAUGAUAACAUGGUCAAAAUUAUUCUAUACACAUCAAUCUUUUCUGCUCUUGUUUUAUCUCACGUGAGUUAUUUUGUUGGAAUUAUGUGGGUUAUAUAUGCAUUCUUCUGUCUGAUAAGUUGUUUCGACAUGCUCUUUGUUCAUGUAUAUUUCAACAGCUUGGUGUGGUUCAUAUUGUAUUUUUUUUGUGGAUUACUUGCAGAGACUUGGAAUGUGACUUGUAUUUACUCCCAGUUUCUAGCAUCACCUACUCCAACAUGUUGUGUCUCUUUGUCUGCAUUCUACAACAGUACCAUUGUUCCUUGUCCCACAUGCAGUUGUAAUUGCCAAGGACUACCAGGAGCUACUAAUUGCGUCGAGUAAUUCUUCUCAUCUUCACUUAAUUUAUGCUUCAAAGCUUCUUUCAUAGAAUAACCAAUAAUCUAUUUGCAGUUCUGAUAAGACUUCAGUGUUGCAAGUACCACAAACAAAUCGCGGAGAAGCAUCAGCGGCAGUGAUCAGGUGUUCACAUCACAUGUGCCCCAUUAGCAUUCACUGGCAUGUGAAGCAAAGUUAUAAAGAGCAUUGGCGGGUCAAGAUCACAAUCACAAACAUGAACUUUGUCAAAAACUAUUCCCAGUGGAAUUUGGUGGCGGUUCACCCUAACUUCCGAAGCGUAACCCAAGUCUUCAGUUUCAACUUCCAAACCCUAUCAGUUUAUGCAAAUUUCAGUAAGUUACUGCAUUAUUGUCACCAUUAAUAAUACUGUAAGAGUAUCACACCUCAAUCUAAGAACCACAGUCACAUAAAAACACUUUGUUUGAACUAUGAGACUCAGAUACUCCUCUUAAAUAACAUGUCUAUGUCGGAUGCCUGUAUCGGUGGUGAAGUUUCAAAUGCAAAAAAUAUUUAUUAGAUUUAUGACGAAUGAGUGUUUUGAUGGUGUAUGGAUUUCAGGUGACAUAGGGAUGUUUUGGGGGCUACCAUACUACAAUGACAGGUUGCUGACACAUGGAGAGAAUGGGCAUGUGCAAACAGAGGUGUUACUACACAAAGAUCGAGGAGAGUUCAGGUUCAACGAAGGAUGGAGUUUUCCUAGAAAAAUUUCAUUCAAUGGCGAUGAGUGUGUGAUGCCAUCUCCUGAUGCAUACCCUACACUCCCCAACACAGCUCAUAUUUCCACAACAACCCUUCCCACAAUUUUCCUUUCACUGUUACUGCUCUCAAUUUGUUCUACAUCUUUAGAAUGAAGAAUUCUAGUUUAGUAUUUCAUAGUUUAGCGUCACACUGUAUUUCUAGUUAUUUCGUGUAGUCAAAACCUCAAUAAUAACAAAUCAACUGUGUUAUAACCUUUAAAAUUGGUCAAAACACCAUUAAAAAAAAUUAUUAGAAAAAAAAUAAUUUUAAAAACUAAAAUAUUUAAAUAUUCACUAAAUUAGAUUAGAAACUAUUUUAUAAAUUAAAUUAAAAAAUUAUUAGUAUAUAAAGUAUUUUCUCUCAUUAAUACAAAAUUAUAAAAUAAUUUUUAAUUUAAUAUUUAUUCAUUAGGUAUCAAGAUUUUAGUUACUUAACAUUUUAUAUUUUAAAUUAUUAAUAUUUAUUAAUCUUUUAGAUACUAAUUUAAAAUCUAAAAUAUUAAUAAUUAAAACUCAAAUAAGUAAUUUAGAUAUCAAUUUAAAAAUUAUUUUAUAGAUUUUUAUUAAUGAUAAAAAUCAGUUUAGAUAUUAAUAAUUUUCUAUUCUCUAAAUUAAUAUCUAAUUUAGUAAAUAUAAAAACUAAUUAAAUUUAUCAAUAAAUUUAAUUGUUAUUUAAUAAUUUUUUUAUAAUAUAUAAAAGCAAUUACAACUAUGGCACUAUAAUAAUAAAACUUUGCACUCAUUAACCUUGCGAAUUGAAUGAACGAUCGUUUUAUUCCAAUUUCAAGUUUGACUUCUUAACCCUAAUUGGAUACGUUGUAGUAUUUAAUAAAUCAUUAACUAUUAUUUUUAAAUUUUAAGAUAAUAUUGAUUAUUUUUUUAUCAUUUAUAUUGUUUUUCCUCAUUAGACGCUUACUUAGUUUAUAUAUGUAUUUGUUAUAAUAUGAAAACUAAAAAGGAUAAAACAGAAAUUCUUAUAAACAUUUUAUUAAAAUAAAAAUUGAUUACGUUUCUCCAAAAAAAACCUACAAUACUUAAAACAAGACAAAUGAACACAACAUAAUGUGAUCAAAAAUCACAUUAUCCGUUUCUAUUAAUAUCAAUUAUACAUUUAUUUAUUUAAGUCUCUAUUCUAUUUAUACAUUUAUUUAUUAUUUUUCUAUCAAUUUCUCUAUCUUCUUUUAUAUUCUUUUUUUUAUGAUUUUUUUUUCAUCUCACCGCACACUACAAGAGAAAAUUUUAGGUUAAUUUUUCCAUCUCUUUUCAUUUGUCUUUUAAAAUUAUUUUGCAAAAAAAAUAAAUAAGUUUUCUUAUUUUAUCACUUUCUUUCUCCACCUCUAUUAAAAAACACAGAGUUUAAUAGUUUAGAAAUAAUAGUUUAAUAGAGUUUAUUUUCUUCUUAGAUAUAAAAGUUACUUGAUUUUAUUUAUUUGUUUAUGAUUUUUUAAAAUGAUAAUAUUUCUUUACUUUUUGCAUAUUUUUUAAUUAACAACAACAUUUUUAUUGUUUUUCAUCUCUUUUUCUUUUCUUCUCUUUUUAUCACACUUUAUUUUAUUAUUUUCAUCCAACCAAACAUAAUAAUAAAGAUAUAGUGCCGAUUAAAUAAAUAAAUAAUAAUUUAUACCUCUAAGGGAAUUUUCUACUUUUCUAAAUUAUUUCCUUAUUUUAUCUUUAUUUUAUAUUUUUUUUAUUAAUUUAUUUUGAUUAUUCAGACAUUUUAUAAUUUUAUAAAUUAAUAAAAUAGUUUUUUAAUUUUAAAAUUUUAUGUUAUUUAUUCUCAUUUAACUAUUUGGAGAGAUUGAUAUACGUUAAUUUUAUUUAUUGUCACCUGACAGGAGGAGAGUGGAGAGAUUAAUUACUUUCCUGUUUUAAACUUAUAUUCUUCUUUAUUAAAUAAACAAUUUUAAAAUUUUAUUUGUUCCCACUUAACUGUUAAGGAAGUGGAGAGAUUGACAGGUUAAUUAAUUUUAUUUGUGAUCACUUAACUAACAGAAUGGUGUAGAGAUUGAUUAUCAGAAGUAGCGUUGAAUGUAGAACAAUUUUUUUAUUUUCUCUCUCUUAUUUUAUCUCUCUCCUUCCAAAUCUUUUGAAACCCAAUAACAUAUUUCUCAUACAUACAAAUACACAUGAAUUUAUAUUUAAAUAUAUAUAUAAUAAAAAAAACUAAAAAAUACGAAUGAACAGACGAAAAGAUCAAGCAUCGCCUAAUAAUAAUAAUAAUAAAGAUAUAGUGUAAUAAAUAAAAGCGUAAUUAAUAUUAUUUGAACUAUCUGAAUGAGAAAUAAAUAAAAACAAAAUAGUCAAAAGAAACAACACUUAAAAAGGAAGAAAUAACUCUUUACUAUUAUAAAUCAUAAAUGCCAAUUAAACUUUCAACUCUGACUUUUUAGUGAGAUUGGUUAAUGUGAUAUAAUUAUUAAUUACAGAAGUUAUGGCAACACAUGAGAACAAAAUAUAAUUUAAUUAAAAUAGUUGUUACAUUAAAUAUCAAUUAAUGAUCAUAUAUAUAUUAAUAAGAAAAUAUAUAAGUAUAUUUUUAUUAGAAAAUGAUAUAUAAGAUUUUUUUUUCUAAAAUUUUCUUUAUUAAAGAUAUAUAGGAACUAUUUUUUUUCUAUACCCAUCAAUUUUAAGGAGUCUCACUUCUAAAUUUUGUUAAUUUAUCCUUAAGUUCAAGUUAAUAGCACUCUUAUUCCAAGAUUCUCCCUUAUAUUGAUUAAAAUUUACUGAAAAUUAACAAUUCUAAUGGGUAUAGCUACUAAAUAAAAAAUAUUUAUUAAAUGAGAAGUGAAACCUUCCAAAAUUAAUUAAUAAAAAUAACAUUAGAAAAAGAGGAGUCAACGAAAGUGUAUGUAUACCAAUAUAUUUCAAUAUCAGAUAUUUAUAUGAAAUUGCUUUAGGGUUUCAAAAAACUACUAAAAAAGUUAAUUUAUGCAAAUAUAAAAGCUAAUUAGCUUUAUUAAUUUCAUUUAAAAACAAAUAUCCAUCCUUCAAUUAUUUUUCAUUAUAAUUUGAUAUAAAAAAUAUUAAAAUUAAUAUUUUAAUUUCAUAAAACAUAUUUUUGGGGAUAAUAUAUCAUUAAAUAAGAUAAUAUAAUUAAUAUUUUUUGUAUUUUAAACUAAAAUACAUUAUUUUUAUUAUUAUUUAUAUUCAAGACCGAAUGAAAUAUUACAUUUUUUCAAAUCAAUUGUACAUAAAAAAAUAAGUAAUUUUAAUAGUUGAAGAUAAUAGUAUAUUCAUAGUAUACUUGUAAUAUUUCUUUUCAGCGUUUAGUUUAUUAUCUAAACUUAAUUGUUUACUUGGUUCAAGUAGAAUUGAGACUAAAUCUCUUAAAAAAUGUUAGAUUCUUAGUAAUAUAAGUGAAACAAAUAUAAUUGAAAAAAUUAAUAAGAUAUGAUAAUUUUCAAUCAUAAUAAAAAUAAUUAUUAGUAAAAUCAGUGAAUAGUACAUGUAUACAACAAGAAAAUCAUUAAAUAUCAAUUAAUUUUAGACUAAUUAAUUAAAUUAAAUAUUAUUUUAUAAAUUAAAAAAUUAUUGAUAUUUAAAUUAAUUUUUAUUAUUAAUAAAAAUGUAUAAUAUACUUUUAAAAUUAAUUAGAUAUCAUGAAUUUAAAAACUAGUUUCUAAACUAUAGUAUAUAAAAUAGUAUUUAUUAUUAAUAAAAUUUAUAAUUUAAUUUUUAAAUUAUGACUAAUUAAUACGAGUUUAGAAAUUAAUUUAUAAAUUUCAUUAAUAAUAAAAAAUACUAUAUAUGAAUAAUUUUUAUAAUUUUUAAAAUAAUAUCUAAUAUAAUUAAUAUUAACUACUUUUUGUCUUUAAAAUUAAUUUUGUUGUGAUAAAAUUCGAUAAAGCUAAAUUAAUAUUUUUAAUAUCAAUAUAAAAAAAAUUAGUAAAAUUCAAUCCUAUGCUUCCGUGUCAAAAUAAAUAAGAUUUUCGAAAUAUAUCUGAUAACAAAACAUAUUGACAAACAGACUAAUUAAUAUCAUAAUUGCUCAUUAAUAUGUAUAACUCAUUCAACUCAUCAUAUAAUAUUUAAUAUUAACUAUUUAAUUAAUUAAAUAACUUUUUUUAAAUAUAUAUUUGUCAUUUAGUCCUAUUUGAAACCGUUUCUCUUUGACUUAAACUCUCAUCUACAACUUCAACGCUAGAAUCCCUCACUUAAAAGAAGGUGAAUAAGCAUGAGAGAUUAAGUUUUUAUUUAUUUUUUUAUUACACAAAAGCAAGUAUUUUUCAAUGUAAAACAAUUCAUUAUACUAAAGUCUUACAAAAAUUGUUUAGAUAAACUACAAGAAAAUCAUGAAAUAGAAACUAAUUUUAUAGAUAAAAAAUAAUUAGUUGUUAUAGUGACUAAAUUAGAUACCAUUUUAAAAACUAAAAAAAUAGUUUUUAAAUAUUUUAUUAUUGUUAAAUAGUUUAUAAAUUGAUAUCUAAUUAGCUAUACCAAUUAUUUAUAUUCUAAAAUUGGUAGCAAAAACUUUGGUUACUAAUUAGAUACUAAUUUAGAAACCAUUUAACAAUAAUAAAAAUUAAUUUAUAAACUAAAAAUAUUUUUAGUCUCUAAUUUAGUCAUUAUAACAACUAAUUAUUUUUGUCUAUAAAAUUGGUUUCUAUUUCAUGAUUUUCUUGUAGUGGGAGUCUUAGAAACAAUUAUCUUCUACUUUUCCUCUCGGUUUUUCAGCUUCUCACUAAUGACUUAGACUUUCUAUGGAUCAGCUAACUUGGAUUAUAUUAUGUGGGCUUGGACUUAUUUUUGGCUAUUAGAUAUGGACUAUCACUCAGCUAUUGGAUCUGGGUCAGCUCUCAGCUUCUAGAUCCAAAGUGAGUGUACCUGUAAGGGGCUCCGAUGGUAAAGUUAUAAUUGGUUUGUUUGAUUAUCAGAUAAAAAAAAACAUUCUACUUACCUAUUACACAAAUCACCUAUUUUAUAUUUUAACUUGAUUGGACUUUUACUUUUCACACAUUAUAGUUACUAAGUAUAUUUCAAGUGUUUUUUGUCUAUUUAUUGAACUUUGAUACAAUGCUAUUUUAUUCUAUUAUUUAUUUAUAUUUUAACUUUCAAUAUUCUGAGAGUCUUACGGCCUUUUGACCUUUCGACCUAGUCAUUACCGUUUACAAAAGUCAAUUACAUACACAUGUACAAUAUAACUUUUUAUUUUAGAAUUAUUAAUUCUUCUUAAGUAGCCUAAUUUAGUUUCUCUUUUUUUUUGUGUUUCCCAAGAAAACUUAUAAAUAUAAAAUGUUAGAGAAGUCCUAACCUACUUCUAGAAGACUUGUUUAAAAAACGAAACACAUUAUAAACUUAUACUACUUACACUAUAAGAAAUCAUUAAAUGAAAACUAAUUUUAAAGACCAACAUAAUUAGUUUUUAUUUGAACAAAUUAGAGACCAUUUUAUAAACUAAAAAAAAAAAUUGGUAGCUAAUUUAGAAAUUAAUUUAGAAUAUAAAGUACGAAGUAGCUAAAAUUUUGGUAGCUAAAUUAUAGAGACUAAUUCUAGUCUCCAAAAAGUCAUGAUGCAAUCCAACUUCAGAGGUAAGAAGUUGCCUAACCGAUAGUGUGCCAUUAAAGCUUUAGAAUUGAGUUGCACUUACACAUACAUAUAUGUGUGAUUAUGUAUAGUUAUAUGUAUAUUGUUUAGGUUGAAUAUAUGUAUGAUUAUGUAUAGUUAUAUGUAUAUUGUUUAGGUCGAAUGAGCAAAAGGUUGAAAGGUCGAUAAUAAGAUGAAAAACUAAACAAAAAUGAAUAAAUAAUUAAAUAAUAAAAUAUUAUAGCAAAAUUCAUUGAAUAGAUCUAAAUAUGUACAAUAUGUUUAAGAAAUAUACACUAAAAGAAAAUCAUGAAAUAAAAACCAAUUUGUAGAAACCAAAAUAAUUAGUUGCAAUAGUAACUAAAUUAGAGACCAUUUUAGAAACUAACAAAAAAAUUGGUUUCUAAAUUAGUUUCUAUUAUUUUCUAUUAUUGUUAAAUAGUCUCUAAAUUAGUAUCUAAUUAGCAACCAAAGUUUUUGCUACCAAAUUUAGAAACUAAAUAAUUGGUAGUUAAAACAUUAGUUGCUAAUUAGAUACCAAUUUAAAAACUAUUUAACAAUAAUAUAAAAUAAUAGAAAGUAAUUUAGAAACCAAUUUUUUGUUUAGUUUCUAAAAUGAUCUCUAUUUUAGUUCCUAUUGUAACUAAUUAUUUUGGUCUCUAAAAAUUGGUUUCUAUUUCAUGAUUUUCUUGUACAAAUAGUAAAAGUCCAAUUGGGUCUAAAGUUCAAUAAGUGAGUACUAUAAACAGGUGAUCAACUCAAGAAGUAAGUAGAGUGAAUUCUAUCUUAUAAUUAACCAAAAUCGAUUAUGACUUUAUCAUCGGAGCUCCUUAUAGGUACACACAUCCGCCUGAGAGCUGACCUUGAGUCUAAAAGUCAAGAGUCCAAGUUGACUAAACCAGAAUCCGUCCAAGUCCAAACUAGUAAACAAUGUAGUUGAAAGUCCAAGCUUGAAUCAAAAGAUCGUGAAGCCAAGAAGUUAAGAGAAGAAGAAAUUCAUUGUUUUUAGGCCUUGUAAGAACAUUAUGAAUUGUUUUAAGCAUGACGAAAUAAACUUAAAAAGUUGUCAGUAGUCAAUCCUAAAAAACGUAGUUGAUAAAAUACGUUGAAGUUCAUUAAAAAAAACAAAGAUCUCAAUUAAACUAUUAAUGAAAAAAAUUAAAUAACCUAAUUAAUGCUUCGCGUUUAAUCCGGAAAAUAAAAUGAUGGUUUGAAGGAUUUGUUUAAAAAACAUGAUCAAAACACAUUAAAAAAUGAUAUAUUGACAACUUUCACCAGUCUACAACCUCAAUUUUUACCUAAAACUUGUAUCCGUUUAUGAAAUAACGAAAAUAACCUUUCUUUAUAUCAUCGAUCACUCGUUGAAUAUUGAAGCAUAGUUGUCAAAAUAUCAUUACUCAAGAUGCACAUGUAACCCUUGUUGAGAUGACGUGUCACAUCCCACCUUCUCUUCUUCUCUAUAAAAGCAUGAACACAUAUCACCAUUCAUACAUCAACCUAUACCUUACCCUUUCAUCUCUUCACACCCCAAAUCCCAAAACACCAUCACCAUGUCAAGCGUCAACACCAGUGCUUACACCACCCAACUCCGAGCCUCUCACUUGGAAGUACAGUUUGGGUACGAGGAGUGUUGCCGCAACCAUGCAGUGGCCGUAGGAGGAGCUUCCUACGAUGGCUGCAACGAGUAUCAGAAAGCAAGGUCGCAGAACUCUUUCCUCUGUGCAUGCUGUGGUUGUCACCGCAACUUUCACCGCAAACGCCCUACUUUGAAAAGAGAGCGCCGAACUGAAGCAGGGAAUGGUCGUGCUCUGGAUAUAGUUCCUGUUUCAGAGACGUUUCGCCCGGAGCGUAGCAACAACCCAGAGCCACUGCAGCUGGUGAGGCCACUGAGGAGGAGGAGGACGAGGUUCUCGCGCGACCAGAAGAAGCAAAUGACGAGGUUUGCUGAGAUAUUGGGGUGGAAACCUCACAAGGGUAACAGGGAGGAUAUUCAACGUUUCUGCACUGACAUGGGAAUAAGCCGGAAGAUCUUCGUGGUGUGGCUGAACAACAAUCGUCACCGUGCAACUCCGAAUGUGAGUGAUCCAUGAAGCAGUUAGAGGUUGAUGGUUGGAUCGGUCUUGGCACUUGGCAUUAAUAAGGAUUUUGUUUCCAUGUAUUGUUCCUAGUAUCAGUGUGUUUGUGUUUGUGUUUGUUCUGUGUUUUUCUUUUCAGUUUAUCUGUGUUUUCAGUGCUUUGACUUUUAGUGAUGUAGUCCAUGUGCCAUGAAUUUCUAAGUGAAUGACUGUUAUGUGUUUCAAAUGCAUUCUUCAUUUUCCUUCACUCUAUCUUCAACCUACCUCAAAAAUACUUCCUUAUUAACCGGAUCUAAAUUUUAUCUUAUAAGCCGAUUUUAUAAAGUUGUUGAGUUAAACUUAAAGUUCACUUCUUAAUAUAUAUCAGAGUCAUCUAAGGUUUAUCUCAAGAAAAUAUAUAUCAAAGUCAUCUAAAGUUUAUCUCAAAAAAAUAUAUAUCAGAGUCAUCUAAGGUUUAUCUCAAGAAGGGUUUGUUGAGCUUACAUUCCUUAUGUCAUCGAUGAAUGAUAAAUAUAUAAUCUUAUUAUACCAUUUUUAUUUUUUUAAUCUUUCUCGCUCUAAAUAGAAGUCAUGUCAAGUUUAUAUUAAAUUCUAAACACAUAUACAUAUUCAUUAAAAGAAAACUACUAAAUUAAAAUGAUUUUUUGUGGAAUCUUUCCUCCUUUCAUAAAAUCAAAGCUCACAAUUUAAUUUUUCUUUUGGAAAAAAAUUGUUUCACAAGCUCAACACUAAAAGAAUUUCAUUUAUAAUAAUAUAAUAUUAUUUUUAAUUAAAAAUAAAAUAAAAAUAACUGAAAAGAAUAAUUAUUGAAUUAUUAAGGGUGUGUAUUUAAUUUUUGGAGAGUCGAGAAUAAUCACUCUUUUGUUUUAUUAAAAACCGUCACCUUAUUGUCAUGACUUAUUAAAUUUUGUUUUGUCGUUUCUUCUUAAAAAAAUUAAAGUCAUAUGCACCAUUUACUUUAACGUGCCGGUAAUAUAAAUAUUAUGCUUGUUAUAUACGUUACUCGAUAACUAAAAUCCAAUACAAUUAAAUAGGAGAAAAAAAAUUAAUGAUUAAUGUGAUAACGGGUAAUUGAAUAUUUUUUUUAUAUAUUUUUCUUCAAGCUUAUUCAUACUCAUCAAUGUGGAAAAACUCACACUUAUAAUCCUAAUAUUAAUAUAUACUACAAUAAAAUCAUUAAAUAGUAACUAAAUUUAGAAGCAAAAAAUAAUAAUUAGUCACUAUAUUAACUAAAUUAAAUACUAAUUUAGAGAAAAAUUAUUCAUAUCUCAAGUGAUUUCUAUUAUCAGUAAAAAUUUAUAAAAUGAUUUAUGUAUUUGUAUCUAAAUUAGCUACCUAAGUUUUAGCGAUUGAUUUUUUAGAUUUUAAUUCAGUCUCUAAAAGAUUAAUAGAGACUAAUUUAGAAUAUAAGUAGUAAAUAGCUAAAAUUUUGGUAGGUAAUGGUUAGAUACCAAUUUAGAAACCAUUUUAUAAAUUUGUAUUAAUAAUGGAAACUAUUAUAGAUACCAAUAGUUUUUUUAGUUUAUAAAAUAGUCUCUAAUUUAAUGAAAUAGUAACUAAUUAUUUUGAUCUCUAUAAUUAGUUUCCAUUUUAUGAUUUUCUUGUAAUAAUAUUAGAUAAUAAAAAAGCGUAACAAUUCAAGAUCAAAAAAUACUAUCCAAAUUGAAAAAUCAAUACAAAUAUAUAGUUUCAUCUUGUCGUACAAUCUCUUAGUCAUGUACAUCUUGUUUCUCUCAAAAAGCAUGUCUAAAAAACAACCAUAUAUUAUCGAAUAUGAAUCUACAUAAUUGAAAUAUUGAAUAUACAUUUUUCAUUUUCUUUCACUCUCUCUUCAAAUGACCUUAAAAUAACAUUCUCUUUAACUUCGUUAUUUGUUUAUUUAAUUUGGAUGAGCACCAUUUCUAUUUUCUUAAUCUUUGUCAUUCUAAAUAGAAGUCAUGCCAAGUUUAUAUUAAGUUUGCAUUUGUAUCUCAUUUGUUUUACAUUGAAUUUGACAUAUUUAUUAUAAGAAAAUCAUUAAAUAUAAACUAAUUUUAAAAAUAAAAAAUAUUUUUUAUUAUAUUAUAAUCUUGUUUAAAAUAAAAUAUUGUAUUAUAAGAAAAUAAUAAUUUUUAUGGAUGCUGAGUGAAUAGAACUAGUGUUAAGGUAUCAUUACCCAAAAAAAAAGAAUGAAAAUGUCAUAAUAAGAUUUUGAUGGUGAUAGAUUGACACAACAAAUAAUAAAAAAUAUGAACUAACAAACCAAUAAAUUAAUAUUUUAAUAUGUUUAAUUUAUUUUUUAAUUUAAAAUAUUAAUAUAUUAUUAUAAUAGGCUGUCGAGUACAUGUGAUUUACUUUUUUGGUGUCAAAGUAAUCUUUUACACAAAAUUGUCCUCUUUUCAUAAAAUGAAUCCCACAAUUUAGUUUUUUUUUUUUGAAAAAAAAUUGCUUCACAUCCUCAACACUAAAAAAAAAAUCAUUUAUAGCAAUAUAAUAUUAUUUUAAAUUAGAAAUAAAUAAAUAUAACAACAAAAAUAAUUUAUUGAGUUAUUAAGUAAUUGUAUUUAUUUUUUGGAGUGUUAGAGAAUCAUCACUCUUUUCUUUUAUUAUAAAUCGUCACCUCAUUAUCCUGACUUAUUAAAUUUUAUUUUGCCGUUUCUUCUUAUAAAAAUAAAGUCAUAUGCACCGGUUUACUUAGCGUGUCGUUUAUCAAAAUAUUAUACCUGUUCUUUACUUUACUCGAUAACUAACAUUCAAUACAAUUAAAUAGGAAAAAAGUAUAACGAUUCAAGAUAUAUUAGAUAAUAAAAAGUAUAAUGAUUCAAGAUCAAGAAAUACUACCCAAAUUGAAAAACAAUAAUAAUAAAUAGUUUCAUUUUCUACUACAAUAAUUUCUUAGUCAUGUACAUUUUCUUAAGAGUGAAGUCCUAAGUUCCUCUCAAAAAAUAUUUUAAAAACAAUCAUAUAUUAUCCAAUAUGAAUUUAUAUAAUUGAAAUAUCAUCCAUGUAAAUUUCAUUAGACUUUAGAUCAUUUAUCGAUAUGUGCGUAUCAUGCCAUAUUAAUAUUCAUUGUAUCCUUCCAAAUUUUUUUUCAUGACCCAUGCUUUUGUGUUUUUUUUUUUUUUUUAAUUUUAGGUUUUUCUUUUCAUGUGACGACACAAUUUAACACUACGAAACACUACGAAACAAUCAUUGUUAAUUUUAGAGACAAGAAACAAUUAGUCAUUGACUAAAUAUUUUAGAAACUACAAAAUUAUUGAUAUUCAAAGUAAUUUCUAUUAUUAAUAAAAAUGUAUAAAUUAUUAUCUAAAUUAGCUACCAAGAGUUUAGUUAGUAAUAUUUUAGAUUUUAAAUUAGUCUAAAAAAUUAUAGAGACUAAUUUAUAAUAUAAAAUAUUUAGUAGCUAAAACAUUAGUAAUUAAUAGUUACAUACCAAUUUAGAAACUAUUUUAUAAAUUUUUAUUAAUAAUAAAAAUUAUUUUAAAUAUCAAUAAUUUUUAAUUUAUAAAGUUAUAUCUAAUUUAGUUAAUAUAAUAAUUAAUUAUUUAAUUUUUAUAAUUAGUUUUUAUGUAAUGAUUUUUUUGUUGUAAUGUUAUGUCUUGUAAUUGAAUAUAGUUUUAUGAAAGUAAAAUUAAGAAAUUAUGUAGCUGUUUUUUAGUUGACGAAGUUUUAAAGAAAUUAUACGGUCAUCCAUUUUAAUAAAUAAAAAUUAAUAUAAUUUGAUAAAGCAUAAUUAUCUAGUACAAAUAUAUUAAAAUUGGUUAAAAAAUUAUGUUUUUUAUACAAUAAUAUAAAUAAUAACUCAAUUAAAUAAUGUGAAUAGUGUAUUUUCUUAAUAUAAUAGUAUAAAUAAUAAUAAUAAUUUAAAUUAAUUAUAUGAAUAUUUAAUUAUAAUUAUUAUGUGCACUAAAAUUAUUAAAUUGGGUAAUAAAUUUAUUUAUACUAACAAUAUACAAAUAAGCUUUUAUAAUAAUAUCAACAAUGAAAUUAAUUGAAAGCUUGCAAAAAAUUAAAUUAAGUUAUAAUCUAAAAUCAAUUCAAUAUCUGUGUUUUUAUUUAUUUUUAAUGAUCAUUAAAACUAUUCUUGUAUAAUUUGAAUUAAUAUUUUUAAAUUUAUGUGUUUUUUUAUGACAUAGACAAUAUAGAGUUCCAAAUUGACAUCGCAAGAUCCAGCGUGGCACCAUGCUAUUGGCUCAGUACACGUAUAUUCCAAUUUUUUUUUUAUUUUGCGAAAUCAUUUUAUUAACCUUCUUAGUUCUAUAAAAUUCAACGUUCAUCACUCAGCAUUCAUAUUUGUUCAUUUCUGAAUUCAGAUCGAAAGGUAGAAGAAAAGGAGAGAGAAUGGACGCCAUUGAUUCCGUCUUCGAUCCCCUCAGAGAAUUCUCCAAGGACAGUGUCAGACUCGUCAAGCGAUGCCACAAACCCGAUCGUAAAGGUGUAACCCUAACCCUAACAUUUCUCCAUCGUUUUCCUUGAUUCCUAAUUUUUUUUUUGUUUUUCUAAAUAAGAUUGAAUCUAUGUUCUGUGGAUCUUGAUUGAUUGGAUGGUUUGGGUGUUUCAGAAUUCUCUAAGGUUGCUGUGCGUACCGCGAUUGGUUUCGUUGUGAUGGGAUUCGUCGGUUUUUUUGUCAAGCUCAUCUUCAUUCCAAUCAACAACAUCAUCGUCGGAUCUGGUUAGGUAAAUUAUAACUUUCUCAGAUUUGUUUUCAUUUAUAGUUUUACCCUGUUAUUCAUUUGUCCUGCUUGGACCUCUGUCUUUUAUAUUGUUUUUGAAGCUUGGAGACUGAUCUGAUUUUUUUGUUACAAUUUAUUUGGUAAAUUUUGAAUUUUUCAUAUUGGGAUUGCUUGUUUGGUUGAGUUGUUAUUCAGAAGCAUUGUUGACCAUGUUGUGCUGGCGUGGUAUAUUGGAACGAUCUGAUAUGAAGGUUUAAUUGAAUCAGGGAUUUAGGGUAGUUAUUUGUAAAAAUAUUCGGUGCUGCUUAUGGUUACAUUUAUAGUGUAAGGCAUAGAAUGAUGAGUUAAUUGAUCGCAUUAUAUGGUGAACUUUUUACUGCAACUAUUUCUAAAUGAACAGAUAUGGCAAUCUGGUGCAGUGAUUUAUUAAAGAACAUUAAUCUGUUAGUGUGCAUAUUUUCAUGUUUUAAUAUAUGGGGAGUUUCUGCACUGUUACAUGUAUGUGAGAUUAUGCAUGAUUAUUUCUCAGUACCCUGUCUUUGCUACCGGUUUCAUUCGGAGCAUGUAAUUGCUAUCUAUGUUUUAGAUGAGAGUGCUUGGUCUGAACAUUGUUGAGGAUUUUAUUUUCUUCUUGGAAUAUGUAUACUCUUUGAAAACCAGCUUCGGUAGAUUGUCUAGUUUUUAUUAUCGAUUUAAUGCUGUUUUUCUUUAUUUUCUCUGUUUUGAGAUGUUGGCUGUUAGUGAAACUGUGUCUUUAGCUAAGUGUGCAAAAUGGAUGAUAAAUAACCCUUGAUUAUUCCGCAGGAUGAGGGGAAUUUUUCAAUUGCCUCAGGAGUCCAAGUUGUCAAACAUGAAGAGGCAGAAAGAGUUCCCACUUUGUUAGGUCAUCAUGAACUUAAUUGUAGUUUUUUUGUACUCUAUUUUUGGUGUACACUUGUAUCUUAUCUUCGGAAGCUUUACAGUUUUAUUUGAAAUAUACAAUUUUAUUCUUCCGUGUUAGACCCUUGACACAUUGUUUUGAUUCAGGAGGAAAAGGAUGAAAAAAGUAGUUGAGAAACUAUUCUUUUGGUUUUGAUUCUUUGAACUUCGCUUUCUUAGUCUUUUUAGAUAUUUUAGAGCAAAAAAUAAGAAAGUCCACACCCAUUGAUGAGGUGGAACUUGUAUAAAUAAGUUGCCAAGAACAAAAUAAAUUUAAAUUAACUCGAACUGUUUAAAUGUUGAUAGGCAAUAACAGUGGUAAUUAUUCUUCACCUCCUUUUCUUAAGGAUCCAUAUUUUUUGUACUUUGACAUACUGCUGAAAGUUACAACAUAGAACCCAAUUAUAUGUAAAAUAAGUUAAAUACUUGAAAUCAAAAGAAAAAAAUAUAAGAAGGUUACAGAACCAGAAGUUUUCUUCAUAAUCUGUGACAUAUAUUUGUUUGAGUAAAAAUCUGGUGUUGUGUGUAAAGAUUUCCCGUUUUAAAGUCGUGCUGGUGAGGUUCACUUACAGGGAAAUUAAGGGGGUGGGUGGCGGAGAUAACCCAAUGGUGUCAGUGCAGCGUCUGUUACGCUCUCAAAUUCACAUUCAAAAAUGGGUUCCCUUAACCCAUUGAAACAACCCAUCCAUAUCUCCUUUACUCCUCUGGGAGAAAAAAUCAGAAAAAUAACAGCUAUAAGAGGCCAAUAAGUAAAUAAUCGUCUUCGUCUGCUCUCUGCGACAACCAUGUGCUAGUUAUCUGCUAUCUGCUACAACCAUGUGUCACUUAUCUGCUAUCUGCUACAACCUUAUGCCAGUUAUCUGCUAUAACCGUAUGCCUGCUAUCUGCUAUAACCCCAAAAUGCUCCAUGGCUUUUUCAAAAACAAUUCUCAUAGCUUAUAUUCAAUCACACCAGCAUAACCUACCCAAAAUUAUUUUUUGGAGUAAUCAGUAAAUCACAUUUGCGCAUUCACUUAAAAUGGUGUGGUUAAAUGAAGACUGAAUGACUCAAGUGUGUUUGCACUCUGAUAUACCGAAGAACAAAAUAUGAACAGUUGGGUCAUCAUUUAACGAUUCAAUUCAAGUGAAUAUGUGAUGUCGCAAGAGUUUUGAAAUCUUAAUUUCCCACUCUUUAACAGGUAGAAUUUGGGUCUGAUUCAUGUCGAUGGACUUCCACCAUUAGUCUGUACCAUUGGAAAAUUUCACUACUAAGGCUUAAACUAGUGUUAUAUAUUCAGAUGUUAAGAUCAAGUAACUUCCCUUUUCUCUGAAACUUUGUUGAAUUCAAUAAAGAAACAAGGUAUUAUUUGUUUUGUAUACUCAAUUAAUCAUUUUGUAUAAAAUAAAGAAACAAGGUGAAGGACACAGACAUGUCAAGUCCAACAGCACCACCACACUACCAAGAAUCCAAAUGGAAGAGAGCCACAUAGAUAGUAAUGAAAUGCUGUACAUAUUAAGUAAAAAAAAACAAUAAAAACACCUUGUUUCAACCAAAUAUUUUUAUACAUCUUUUUAAUUUUCUCAAGUAAGUAAAGAAUGGAAAUAAUUAACAUGCAAAUAUCACUUUUGGCAUGAAUUAAACUAAAAGGAAAAAGGGAAAGAGAAGUUUCAUAAUGAUAUGAUUCCUGUCAUGAGCAUCCCCUUAAAGCUUCGUACGUAACCAUCACGUUUGGCUUGGUACGAAUGUUUGUAGUGCAUGCCCCAUUACCCAAACCUGAAAUCUGAAACCUGAAACAUAUAACAAAAUCCCCAAUUUUUUUAAUUGGGAAAUUGAAUCACUUUUGACCGUUGACUGAAACGAGUUGGAUGACCAACCCGUUCAAAGCGAGUCAACUCAUCUCAAUUUGAGUCAAUCCAAUGUAACAUCAUCCAAAACCUCCCUAAUGGUCAUGGAUAUCUUCCCACUUGGGACACCAACACCGUCUACCUCACCCACACCGUCUACCUCACCACCGUCUACCUCACCCUCUUCUUCUGCUAUACACCGAAUUCGUUUCUGAGUUUGCCAAACACUACCCAUCAUCACCUUCCUCUUUCUCAACCAAUCCAACCCCUUCAAAACGCACGUCCAAACGGGGACCCUCACUCGUUUCACCACACAAUUUUCCAUUCCCAUAACAACUUCAGCAGCUGAAGGACGUUCAUCUUCAUUCUCUGACACACAACGUGAAGCAUAGCGUAACAAGCGAGUGAUUGUUCCAACCAUGUAACCCGGCAGUGCCACUCUGUCGUCACAAAUCUCUUCCAAAAGUUCUUCACCCAUUAACUGAAUCGCCCAUUCCACAACCGAAGCCGGCGUUUUGCACGCAUCAAUGGCCUUUCUGCCACUUAUGAUCUCCAACAACACAACCCCAAAGCUAAAAAUGUCGUUUUUCGUGCUGAGUCUCUCUGGGGUGGUGUAACAGGGGUCCAAGUACCCUAUUGUCCCGGCGGGUUGACUCACCGAGUCAACCCCUCUCACCGCCAGUCCAAAAUCUCCCAACUUCGCAUUCCAACUUGAAUCAAACAAUAUGUUGGUGGGUUUGAUGUCUCUGUGAAUCACCACAGGCUUAGCUUGGUGAAGAAACUGCACCGCACGAGCGAUUUGCAGGGCGAUUUCAACGCGUUUGGGCCAUGUGGGUGGGGUUUCGUUGGAAUGAAGCAGGUCAUGGAGAGAGGCAUUGGGCAUGAACUCCAUCACAAUGAGUUUGUGGCUGUGAUCAUCAUCACCACUGGUGGUUCCUAGAAGAUUAACCACAUGAGGGUUUUCGGGUAGAGAGGAAAGAACUCGGAUUUCGUUUUGGAGUUUGGAGUUAUCGUGAAGAGAUUGAAGGCCCUGUGAUGGCUUCUUUACAGCGACCACUCUGUAGCUGUUGUUCUCUUUGAACUGAACAACGCCUUUGUACACCAUGCCAUGGCUUCCUUUCCCUACCACCCUUCUGGGGUUGAAGUUUUCUGUUGCUUUCACAACCUCUUCAUACUCAAACUCUUCCAUCGUUUCACUGUUUCUUCUUUCAAUGGUGUUUUCUUACAAGGAGUGGAAUAUCUACGACUAAAUGCAGAGAGGAAAAGAAAGAAAUAUUGAACAUGAGAUUGUUAGAAGACAAAAGUAAUGUUUUAAGAACACGAAAAAGGAUCUUCCCAAUAAGAUAAUUUAUUUUGUUUUUAGUAAGAUGAGGCUUUGAGGAGUUAAAACAACACCUUAAUAAUAUAUAACUGUUAAAGUGUAAGGUAUGGUUUAAUCAAUUUUACACUGUACACUUUUUACAGAGUACUUAUUUUAGUGUUUUAGGUCCAUAAACAAACACAAAUAACAAAAAAAUGAAAAACUGAGAUUUGAAGGAAGGAAUGUAAAAUGUACCUAUACAUCAGCAAUUUCACUUACUAUCAAGACCUGUCUUUGUGUUUGUGUUUCAAUAUGAAUAUGAAGAUGCAUUGAUUAGCUUUUUGUAGAACACAGAGGAAUAAAGGUGCUUUGGAGAGGUAAGAGAUAAUUAAAAUUAUGAUGGGAGAAUUAUUGAGAAAAGGAAAAGUUAAAGAAAAAGCUAAGAGUUUGUGGGAAGAAAAGGUAUCCUCUUUGGCAAAGGGACAGGGCUUAUUGGGUCCCCUUUUUCAAUUCUUUGGCUUCUUUAUUUCAACUUUUUUUAACUUUUUUCUCUCCCACUUUGCACAUUAGCUACCAUGUUAUGUUAUGUACUGUGAUUUCUGUUUUUGUCCACACAGUUACUGUUAUUUAUCAUAGGAAAAAGCAGUCAGAAUCCUUAGCUAAUUAUGUAUCCCAAAGACAUACCUUAACUUUUUAUAUCAAUCACUUAUGUAAAAGGAAAGCAAGGCAUCCAAGGAGAGAUUAGGAAUGUGUAAAGCAAAACAGAUUAUGCCAAACUCGUUUAUUUAAGAGCCAUUUAUCAUUUAUUGUGUCAAAUUAUCUUGUCAUGGAGACAUUAAAACACUUAGAUAACAUUCAGAAUUCACUUCUCCUACCCAAAUUUAUACAAUUUUUCUGAUGGAAGGUACUGAACAGAUGAUUUUAAUUAUCUGAUCUGGCAUAUAUAAGGAGAGGUUUCUGACUAUUUUUGGCAUUUCUGUUGUCUACGGAAGUGAUUUGAAGGGAAUAAUACUUUGACAAUAGGUCACCCAACACAACUUUUAAAUCCAACUUUGCUCUUGUUUUUUUUUUCAAAAAAAAUUCAUAGGAGCUUAGUGUCCCUUUUAACUACUGCAGAGGAGCUGGUGUUGGCGUUAUGGUGGAAGAAAUGUUUCACUCUUAGUUGCUGUGCACAUUGUUUUGAGAUAAUACGAAUACAUGAAUUUGGAAGGCAAUGUGAGUAUCUCCGAAUAUAAAAAUCGUGUAAUUUUAUUUUCAGUUUAAAGUUUCGAAUGCACAUGUUUGAAAGUGAAAUAUGAAUUUCGGAUACCUAUAUCCGGAUGAAUAUCCAUAAUGGUUUUUUGGGUUCCGAAUUGUUAUAUUCGGAAGGUUUAUUGGCUGCUGGGUGUUGGAUGCAUUUAAAUGUAACCUAGUCUCAUUUAAGGGUAUUAUAGUAAUUUUACAUGACCAUGGAUGCCAAUCUGAAAUAAUAUGGUGUAGGAGAAUCAGCCUAGGUCAGUUACAGUGUGCAUGACUUAUUGGGCCUGGUCCAAUUUUUCUUUCUGCAAUUUCAGCAAGGAUAAUUACUUUCUGCACCUAAUCAAAUUUGAACCCGCACCUAAUCAAAUAAAGUGACCCACCACAACUCAUUCCCUCCCAAUUAUAAAUUGGUAAAAAAAGAGAGUAAAAAGGUUUCAUUAGGGUCCAUGUAUCUUUUAAGAGGGUUAUCUUAUCUGUGUUACCUUUAUGUUGUUCAACAUUUAAGGACUUUUUGUCUUAGACUCUGAACAUGUUACACGUUUGAUAAGGACCAUUAUCCUCUUUGUCAGGAAGAAACAAAAACUGUAAUUGGGCUAGCAGACUUUGGCCCAAAUUGAUUUGGGCUACAUUCAUAAUGCAUUGAGAACUUUAAUUAAUUAAUUUGGGUAGAAUCCAUAAUUAUUUACAAUUUUAAGUUUUUGGAAUUUGGUAAUGUAGAAGAAGUAUGUGUGUUGGUGAGAGAAGAUAGGAACAAAAUAAAUGAAUGUGAAUGGUAGAGUAGACUUUCAAUACCUACCAUAUAUCAUACUAACUCAAUUAUUGCAAUACUUAAAUAUACUUACUUCUUCACUCCUUAAAAACACCAUAAAUUAAAUUCACCUUCCAAGGACUUGCUCUUUGAAUUGACUCCAAUUUUAAAAACUAAUACAAUUUAAUUAAGAUAAAAUCGUGUUAAAAUAAACUUUUUUAAUGGUAAAGCACUAAAUUUAUCAAUAACAAUUACUAAAAACAAAAAAAUUAGAUCCAUAAAUUCAAAUAUUUCCACCACCUGACCGUGUGAUAACUAGAAGCUAAAUACCUGGUCAGAGUCAACCAACACAACUGAAUUCCUUAUGUCUAAAUAGAAGAUUAACAAGACUAAUCAGUAGUAAACAUUAGGUAGUGGUAAAACAUUAGGUAAUUUCUUAAUUAUGAUCUAAACCUCUAAUCCGGUCCAAUAAUAAAAGAUUAAUGAUAAUUAUAUAAAUAAGUACAAAUUUUAAAAAUAAGAUACAUCAUCAUUCAAUAUAAUAAUAUCGAGUACCGAAUAUCGAAAUCUUACUUUAAUGUUAGAGUGCUUUUUGUAGAUAACAUUCUAACUUAGUGUUCACGAGAACGAUGAGAAGUAAUGGAGAGUAAGAAAAACUCGAAAAUUUUGAAAAAAAAAAGAAAGAGAGGUAAAACAACCAAUUGAAAACAAAAUAGUAAACAUGAUGGUUUGAAUAUUUAAAAUGAUAAAUGAAUUAAAAUUGUUUAGUUAUUGAAUAUUUUGAUUAGUUAAGAAGAUUAUGCAUGAAUUGUUUGUUCCAUGUAAGUGGGAAUAAUAGAGGAGGAGUGGGGUGGCCCACUUCCACACAUGAUAAUUCGUUUGCUUCAAUUCUAUAAUUCGCGAGUGAUUCACACGCUCUAUAUAUUCGCGUCCCCUGCAUUCCAUUGCUAUUCACGAUCACAUCAAAAUAUAAAAUACAAAUAAAAUAAUUAAAUCAGUAGUACUUUGUACACAUAUCUUUUAUUUUUUUAAGGCGUGUUAUAAUUUUAAAUUAAACAUUAUAUAUGUAUAUGGAAUGGGUACUUCAUUCUCUUCUAAUACGUAUUCUUGCAUUUUUAUACUCUUUACGGCAUCUUUUUAUAAACAAAUAAUUGAUGGAAUACAAUGGCACUAACAUUAGUUUCUUAUUAAAAAAAAGUACUUUUUUAUAAAUGAUAAAAUUUAUCUUUUAUUUGCAAAUUUUAAAUUCAAAAUAGUUGAGAGUAAAUAUGUAUUUUUGUAAUUUUAUUUUAUAAUUAAUAAUUGGUAUGAAAAUAUGUGAAGGUUUCAAAUAGAUAUUAUUUAACUAUUUGGAAACAUUUGUUUGAUUUAAUCGGAAGAAAUGAUAAUAUAUUUGUUCUCGAAAAGGGUUGAAACCAAGAGAACUAUUGAUUAUUUUUCGGUUGGUCUAUCUUUUCACUCCACUUUCUCGUGCUCCUUUCGUUUCUCUACUCCUCGUCAUCGUGAACUCCGAGUUUGGAUGGUACCUAUAAAAGACACUCUUAUGCUUAAGUGAGAUUUUGAUGUUUGGUACUCAGUGUUGUUAGUACUGUGUGAUGACGUACCUGAUUCUUAAAAUUUGUACCUAUUUAUAUUAUUAUCAUGAAUUCUUUGUUAUUGAACCAGAUUACGGAUAUGAGUCGUAAUUAAGAAUGUAUUGUCUAAUGUUUGAUCAUUGAUUAAUCUUAAAAAAAGGGAUGAUUUUGAUUGACUUUGAUUAAAUACUGAACUUUCAUCGGAAGAUGUAAAUUGUUAAUAAAACAUAUUUUGUCUUUAAAAAACAUAAGUGAGACAGGUACAUGGAUUAACCUUAAACUUAAAUUGAAUCCAUGAUGAGAAAAGACAAUUGAAGUAUGAGUAGGUCCUAUGCAAAAGUGUAAGCAGCAAAAUCUGAAAUGGGCCUCACCAAAAUCCCUUUUCAGUAUGAAUGGAUAAAUUUGAAAGACAUAGAAAAAUAUGAAAUAUAGAUGCAUUAACCAAGAACACAGCAAGAACAUCAUAGUAACUAAUAAAGAAAUGGCAAAAACAACAGAGAAAGGUGUGCAAAGCUGACGUUGCACAGAACAUACAUUUAUCCCCUCUAUACCAUGUACAGGGAGAAGACUCAAACUAUGAGAACUGAAAAGUUUCUCAAUUUUUGCAGCUUUUAUUUUAUUUUAUUUGACCCUUUGUUUCCUUGGAUCCAUGCACAUUUUCUUCACUUACUAUCUAACUUUGCCUCCCUAUAACUUUGAAAUUCUUUUACUUUCUAAACAAAUAAAUCGAAUCUAAACUAAAAAGAAUGACAUAGAGAAAAAAAUGCAAGAGAAUAUUUUCCCAACAUUCAAAACUUAGUUCAUAAGCUUUGUUUCAUGAAGUUUGGGAGUUGGAGUGCCAUAAAAUGUAUGAGUUAUUUGAAGAAGUAUUUUGCAGAAACUAUUAAGAAGUAGACUUUAAGUUCAACUUAAUCUCAUAAAAUCGACUCAUAAGAUGAGAUUUACAUCUACUUAUAUAUUAUGAAAUGUCUUAAUCUCUAGUUAGUGUGAGAUCUUCAACACAUCUUUCUCACACGCUGAGACUACCAACUCGUGCAUUACACUAUAUAUUAUGAAUGAUCCGAUAACGAUCUGAUAGCGAGUGACCUGAUAAGUCCAACAAAAAAUUACUAGUAGGAUAGACUCAUACCAUAUUAAAAAGUGAAAUUUAGGUAGAUAUAGGAAUUGUGUAGAAAAGUUGAAACUGGAUGUGUAAAAGUUGGUUUGAUUAGAUAUUCUUGCAUGGCUAUAUUUGGCAAAGAAAAGCUUGGUUAGUGGUAAGAUGAGAUUUAAAAAAGGAAAGGAAGUAGGAACAGAAAGAAAUAAAGAUUGGCACUGAAAUAGCACUGAUAGGACAUGGUAAACUUAUUUUUAGCAGAGGGCACAGAUUUAAAUAACACUAAUUUAAUGAUCCUCAUUCAAAUGCCUCAGAUUUCUCUGACACCAUCAUUUUUAAACCUCACGUAAUAUACAUUCACAUUUCACCACUCUUUUUUCAACUUCUUCCAAUUUCUAUCAGUUCUAUCAUGUGCAACAAAAUUGAACAAUAAUAAUAGAGCUGAAAUGGAGAAGUCUCUGUCAAAGGUGGUGUGAUGUAUGAACAGUAAUUUUUACUGUGAGUGUCCUCAUGCAGCAGGCACUACAGUAAAAUCAACACUGAUUUACCACCAUACCCUUCAACAGUGAAUUACAGAUUUGUUCAUUGUUUAUGUAUUAGUUGUGAUCUCAAUCAUGAUAAUGGCAGAUUUGUUGAAUUUAAUAGAGAUUAAAGGUGUGGUUAGUAGAUUUAAUUAUGUGAUUAUUAUCUGUACAAACUGAAAUACUAUAAUAAACUAAGAGGGUCCAGAUUGGAUUGUAAUUUUCUUUUUGUUUUGUUAAUGCAGUGAUUGGUUUUUGAACAAUUUUCUAAAUUUUGAUGCAGAAUAAUAUAGUGGCUGGAAAUAUAAAAAAGUAAAAGUGACAGAGACAGCAUCAAGUACUUUUUUCUAAGUUUGGUUACCAAAAUUGUGACAGGACAAAAUUGUACAUUUCAUUAAAAUACAACUCAAAGACUUGCACAAUUUUCUCUUAGUUUAUAUCAAUACAGAAAACUUUUCAUCCAAUUGUGAGAAUCAAAAGGGUACAACUUAUUUUAUUUCUCCAGCUGGAAAACAUUAUGGAAAGUUUUGAAAGAAGAAUUAGUCAAAAAAGUGUUGGUGGAAGGUUUUGUUUUCCCUUCUUUUUUACACUUUUUUUUUCUCCAGAUGUAGGAGUUAAUGGAAUAUUUACAUAGAAGGGUUUAGACGUAAACAUGGAAAUUAGGUAUACAUAAUACCAGAAUUAUACAAUGUAUAAGUAUAUGGAAAGUUGAAACAUUUGAAAUGAUUGCAUAACGGUCCUAACACGUGGCAUGUGAAAUCUAUGAAUUUUGAUUUACCCUAUUUAUAAAGGUUCAAACUAAUUGCACCCUACAUUUAUGCUAAUGUUCCAUUAUUAGUUAUCUUUCUUUCUUUUAAAGUUUUAUAUAGAGUUUGUGACCAUGUUAAUGGUUUUCACAUAAGUAUUAUUGAUUUUUUAAACCUGUUAAAUAUUGAACAAUCGAACAAUCGAGAAAGUUGAUAUGCUCGAACCAAAGGACUCUCUUAAUUCAAACACAGUUCGUAAAUCCACAGUUAAGCAUAGUUAAGUCGGUUUAAUUGUAAAUAAUGAUUAAGGUAUGAUGGGUCUCUCUUUUGAACCCACAAGCAGGCCCAUGAAAGCUGAAGCCCAUUCAAAAGGUAUAAAUAUCAAAAGAGACACGGGCGUCAAAGAUAAUUUUUUCUAUCUCGACUCACCUGCACAUUGUACUUGGACUAACUUGAUCGUCCAAGUGUCUUUGCAGGUUUCCUUCACUCAUCUCGAUGAAAAGAAUAAUCAAUCAGAGACCAUCGUGUCUGGAGACUGUGAAGACUAAAAGAAGGAGACUAAAGAAGUCAAUGUAGGAGGAAUCCGACUUGUAUGAAGAGAUAUGAAAAUAAGGUGCAUGAUUUGAUUUGAAUUAUUGGUGGAUUUGAAGGUGAAAUGGUUGUUGUAUGGUUUGAGAUUGUUGAGUGAUGUAUGUAGUAGGCUAAGACAUUUUAGUGAUAAAGGUUCCAGUUUUAGUUAGUGAAUAUGACAUGAGUGGAAGAUGAAGUUUAUUUUAGAUGGGAUUAAAAGAAUAUAAAGGUUGUUUGAGAAGUUGUAGCAUUUUGUGACGUUGAUGAAGGAGGGGCCAUUUCUGUCUUUCUCAAUCAUCCACUCAUCAAAAAAGUGGAGUGCCCAGUCACAUAACAGAUGCUUUUUCUCAUGCUCACCUCUGCCUGUGCUGGAUGGAGUAUUCUCUGUCCUAUUCUCUUCUCUAUUCUCUCCUGUAUUCUACCGUAUUCUGUUGUGUAUAUUGUAUGAUAUUGUACAUACAGACUAUAGCACAUUAACCAUCUCACCCACCCUGAACUCGUAUUUACUCUUUUUUCUAUUGUUUGUUGUGUUGCAAAAGAGUUAUGAACAGUGAAUGUGAUUUUGUGGUGAAUGAAAGGUUUGAAGGAGUGAAGAAACCCCAUUUGUUUUACGAGACCCCACGAGUGGCCUUUGUUUCUUCUCUCUCUCUCUGAGAACACAGCACAGAGCACAGAACACAGAGAGGAAGACAAGAGUCAAUGAAAACCCCACAAACUGAGAGUCUUAGUUGGUCCAAACACUCUUCAGAUUUAAAAACUCUUUCUCUUUCUUUCUCUCUCUGAAAAAGUUGAUCUUUCUGUGUCUAUCUAAAAAGGGAAGAAGAAGAGAGAAUGGAGUUGGAAGAGGAAAACAAAACAUGAUUCAUCAUCUCAUCCCAUUCCAUUCCAUUCCAUUACCAUCAAACAAAAAACAUACAAAAUAAAAAAAUAAACACAACAAGGUAAGACCCUUCCCCACCAAAUGGAACUAUCAGAUUUGCAAAACAACAAGCAGAACACCACCACCAACACCAACAACAGCACCAACACAAAAACAAACACAGUACGAGGUGGUGCUGCUGCUGGUGGUGCUGGUGGUGGUGGUGCCCAUCCCAACCAUCACCACCAACAAUCCUCUUCUUCCCAUCUUCAGCUCCCUUUUGAUGCCAGGACAAACCCUUCAUCCACCUUCCUCUCUUCCUCCACCUCUUCUUCUUCCACCAAUUCUUCCUCCUCUUCCUCCUCCGCCUCCGCCUCUUCCCACAUCAUCGACGCUUCCCUAGCCAUCGCCACCAUAUCUGAUGAUUCCGCCAACAAGACCCAACAGCUCUCCACCGCCGCCGCCGCCGCCUCCCCCGCCGCCAACCCUCCCAAGCGAUCUACCAAGGACAGGCAUACCAAAGUCGACGGCCGCGGCCGCAGAAUUCGAAUGCCCGCCACCUGCGCCGCCAGGGUUUUCCAAUUGACCAGAGAAUUGGGCCACAAGUCCGACGGCGAGACCAUCGAGUGGCUCCUCCAGCAGGCCGAGCCCGCCAUCAUCGCCGCCACCGGAACCGGCACCAUCCCCGCUAAUUUCUCCACGCUCAACGUCUCGUUCCGCAGCAGCGGCUCCACGCUGUCGGCGCCGCCGUCGAAGUCCGCCCCGCACACCUUCCACGGCGCGCUCGCACUCGCUCACCACCCUUACGAGGAGGCCUUUCAACACACCGCUUUGCUUGGCUUCCACGCUCACGCUCACCAGCAGCACCAGCAGCACCAGCUUCUUUCCGCAGAUCAAAUCGCGGAAGCGCUUCCCAGCGGUGGCGGCGACUCCGGCGACGGCUAUCUCAGGAAACGCUACCGCGAAGAUCUGUUCAAAGACGAUAACAUUAACACGCAAUCACAGAACGAGAGCGGCGACGGUUCUUCGCCGAAAACUCCGAACCUACAGCUACCGAAGCAGCAGGCUCAGCAGCAAACCGAAGCUGGUCCUGGGCUUCUCAGGCCCACGAAUUUGCUACCCGCGACAGCGAUGUGGGCCGUGGCACCCGCUCCCGCAAGCGGGCCUCCCGGCAGCACAAUUUGGAUGCUUCCGGUAACCGCGGCUUCUUCUGCUUCUGCAGCAGCUGUAGCUGCCGCUUCAGCUUCUGCUUCUUCUGGUGGUGGUGGAUCCACUGCGAGUUCGGAGACUCCGAUGUGGCCUUUUCCUCAGAGUGGUUUCAUGCCAAGGUUCAAUCUUCCGAGUGCCCUUGAAUUCCAAGGCGCACGUGGGGGUUCUCUGCAACUGGGGUCAAUGUUAAUGCCGCAGCAACCUUCUCAACAUCUGGGUCUCGCCAUGUCCGAUUCCAACUUCGGCAUGUUGGCUGCGCUCAAUGCUUACACCAGACCUGGUUUCAAUAUUAAUUCUGACAAUCAUCAUCACCAUCAUCACCAUCAUCAUCCCUUGGACCAUCAAAAUCAACAUCAACAUCAACAUCAACCUCAACCUAGUGAGAGUGGAGAAGAUGAUCCUAAUAGCUCCCAGUGAACUCUCAAAUUGGUUAGUUGGUUUCGUUUUCAUCUGUAGAUUCUGUGGCUGUAAAUAUGUCAAAAUUUCUAUAUAUAUUGUAUUUUUAAGUUGUAAUUUGAGGAGGAGGAGCUACAGUUUGAUUAUUGGAUUUCUGUUUCCCUUUUCUUUUCUUGCAGAUUGGAAGUUGAGUUGAAUGAAUUUGUGAUAAGUAAUGCUUUUGAAAAAUCCAUGGAUGCAUGCUAGCUCAUGCUCAUCACAGUUGAGUAGAUAAUUAGAUUAUGUUCUCUGAUUAUGCUUUUUUAUUUAUUAUUUACAUUUUUUUGCACUUCUUUGUUUUGUUUUGGAGAUCUUGGUAUGUUUGGUUUUGGUCCAAAGGGACUCAGACACAGAGAGAGUUUGUAUAGGAGGAAAUUUGUCUUGCUGUUUUUGUGUACUUUAUUUGCUUCUUCUCUUUUCUUUCUAUGUAUGACACCAUGAAAUCAAAUUAAAACAAAGGAAUUUAAAGGGAAAGAUUUGCUUGCCUUCCUUCCAUGCUCCUCAUAUAUGUUUUCUUUCUUGUUUCCUUUUAUAAUUCAAAUAUUUUCUACUUAUAAAAUGACAUAUACUUGUCUGGGUGAAGUUAUUAAAUGAAUUCAUUUGAAGACUUUGUGUUCCUCUUACAGCAGGAGAGUGCAUAAAUAAAGUGUGUUUGGCAUUGUAAGAUAAAUUAUUUUUCAGUAAAAUUGUAAAAUAAUUAGAAUGGCAGGAGACACUAAGCAAAGUAGGAUUGUCAGGAAAAAAAGGAGUGUGAGCCCAAAAUAUAUAAAUAGUAAUUCUUGGUAGCUUCAGUGUACAAAUCUCAGUUACAUACUUAUGUGUGCCUUUGAAGAAAAACUUCAGGGGGAUGUCAGAAGAUGGAAGGCAUUAAUUUCCUCCACUCUUCUUCUCACACUAUCAAUUUUUUUCUAAGAAUUUUAAAAUCAAAAUCAUCUGUUUUAUGGUAUGUGAUGUCAGAAAAUGAAAAAAAGAUACUGAUAGAAGAGCUGUGAUAUUGGUUUAUUGUGCAUAGGUUUAGGAAGUGAGAGGUUGGUUUGACAUUGAUGAUG